This 53637-nucleotide long non-coding RNA is filed under the name Gossypium raimondii (Peruvian cotton). RNAcentral's name for it is "long non-coding RNA (GRAI_LNC004836)". The stretch from base 25812 to 25883 matches the Rfam family "tRNA". The record is from RNAcentral. Lineage: Eukaryota; Viridiplantae; Streptophyta; Magnoliopsida; Malvales; Malvaceae.
CCCAACUUUUCUAUUUUCCGAUCAAAAGCGAAGAAGAAAGGAAUGAAAAAAAAAAAAGAAAUAAAAGUUGCUAACUCAAAACCAAAUCUUGAAAGAUUUUGUUGCAAUCAAUAUAGUAAAUCAAUAUAGAUUUAGAGUAAUAGUAAAUAAUAAGAAUAAGUAAUACAACGAUUUCGAACUCUAUUUAGAAUCAAACCACCGUACGGUAUUUUCUUUAAGUAUCUUGUAGGAUACUGUUGUUCCAGCCACAUUUCUCUUUUCGCUCUACUAGUAAUUUAAUUGGAGCUUGAACCCGAGUUUCGGUGAGGUUGAAUCUACUUUUUUCGUUCUACCUUCCUUAUUUAUUUUAUCUAAUUCUUAUCUAAUUCGAAAAAAAAACUAAAAAAAAAGGGGGGGCGAGAGAGUAGUCACAGAUAUUUGAUUGUAUCUCGAUCUAAUCUUUUUCGCCCCGUCCCGCGGCAAUAACUAGAAUUAAAAAAAGGGAAUGUUAACGCAUCCGGGAAGAAACGAUUGAUCUCUAUUAAUAAACCCGCUAAAGAACCGAACCAGAGAGUACUUAGUACGAAGUAGAAGCCUUGCCAAUAAUUGCAAUUGCACUGAUUUGGUUCUUUAGAGUAGCCAAUAGGUUACAAAGAACAGCAACCAUGUCACUCUUCUUAGACUUUUUAUUGAGGUCCCAAUAGCAGGACAUGUUGACGAAACUUUAUAAAUUAACGAGGUUUCUACCAGAACACCAAACCUCAUUGUUUUAAUACACAUUUAACCUUUAAAUAGUUCUUUAAAAGAGAGACAAGUGGUUUUUGUAAUACUAAAAUAUGCACAUUAACUAUCAACCAGAGAGGACUUUUUCGACUAAAAUAUGCAGAAAAGGGCAAGAAAAAGUUCUCUGAAAGUGUAUUGAGAUUUCAGUUCAUGUGAUUAACAUUAAAUUUAGAAUUGCAAUUUGUACCAACCUAGUAUUCAGGCCAACUCCAGAUCGAACCAAGUUAGCAAGACGUGGAACCAACAGCUCCAAUGAUUUGCCAUCUACAACAUUUAUGCACAAGUCAAGUGUCUCCCACAUUGGAGAUCCUUUUGCAAUUGAAAGUCGCAGAUUUUCUAGCUUCUCUGUUUGAAUUCCAACAUUUGCAGCAUGCAACUAGAAGAAUGAAAAGGGAAUACAAAUAAAUAUUAAAAGAACAUAGUGCAAGGAAUAGUUUGAAAUAAUGAACUUCCUUCAAACCUCAACAUAAUUGAGUCCUUGGUCUUCUAGGCUUGAUAAGCUUUCCAGCAUGCAACAAACUAAAUCAGAUAAAUGUGGGCGAAGUGCAAUUCCUGCACCCUGUAAAUAAAACCCAAUUCACUAAAUGGUAAAUUAAGUAAAAGAAUAAAACAAAGACAUUAAACUUAAAUAAGGUCAAGUAAUGAACAUGGUGCAAAGAGGUGGCAAUCGCCCACAUUAAUUUAAGAGUGGAUACAAAUGUCAAUGGAAGAGGAGGAUGACCAAUGAUGAAAGUUAUAAAGGAGGACAUCACUUAUACUAAAGAUAUGUUCUGUUUUAUUAAGUUAUGAAAAUUGUAUGUCAUAGUGCUGAAAACACUGUUUGAGCCUUUGAGGAUCAUGAUUAACUUUUGCAAGUCGUUCUUUAUUGAUGGGGCAACAGUAAAAACAACCAUCAAUCCUCAUCUACUUUCCUGAGGGACAAAUUUUGGUGUGUCAAAAUAAAUUUUUUUUUUAAAACUAAGGCAGAUUAAGCACUCACAGAAUUAGUAAAGCCAGUUCGCAGCAAAACUAAAAACUGGGAGACAAAAUGACAAAAUUAUGACUUGAUCUGUGCUGUACUCAUCAAGGCAAAAUAAUCUCAAAAUAUUGCAAACCUUGGCAAGCUUCAUAACAACUCCAAUUGAUGCCUUCCGUAUACUGUCAACUUUACUCAAUAUGCCUUCUGCAAGCAGAAAGGGAAGAACAAUAUCCAUCGAUUGGCUUGCAUCUGGUGCUUCAGUAAGAGAUACAUCACAGAGCCUUAUUGUUAGUGAAGUUAUAGCACGACAUAGUUUGUCACCAGCAGUCCGCACUGUCUCCUUGAUGUCAUCCAUGGCACGAAACGCAACAAGCCAGAUUUUCUUCAAAUGCUUCCCAACCUACUCACAAAUAUGUUGAUGGAUUUUACAGGACUGAAAUUGUUAGCCAUCAAAACAUAACAGAAUACCAUAAAAAUAGACUGGGAAAUCUCAAUAUUGCAUCAAAGUUGCAUCAUGCUGAAAAUGCAUAAGAAAUAUAUCUUUCACUUCGAAUAGUAUCAUUGGGGCUAAUGUGGUAGGAAUAUGAAGCUUCAGAGGUAUUGAAAGCAAUUGUACCAUGCUAAUAAACAAUAUAUGCAAAAUUAGGAAAUACCACACAGCUUGGAUUUUUUGAGAACCAAGCAGUAAAAAUAUAACCGAUGCUAAGAAAAUAUUACAGGGAAUUCCAGGUUACUAAAUCGAUGAUUAUGACAUGUCAUUUGUUAACUAGGAUUCAUUUAGACAAAAAAUCUUUAACAACUCAUGAGCACCUACAGAGUUUAGACAGUAGAUUGUAAAUAAUUUAUUAAGUUCUAAAUAUCCUUCAUUUCCCUCUCUCCCUCUAAGUAAUCAAUUCAGUUGAUGAUAACACUAAAGACUUUAUACCAAAAAUUUACACAGUCCACAGAAAUGUUUGCAAUAAUAUUUAUGAUUAAGUAUUUGAUUUAAAUAUGAUAACAAACUUACGCAAAACAAGUACAAGACCAGAAAAGGAACGAGAUGCUAAUAAAAUCUUAUGCUUUAAUUUAUAUGCCAAGGUCAAACAAUUUUGGAACACUUCAAUUUUUAAACUAGUGUGAGAAUUAGGUCAAAGGAUUCUACCGGUUAAGAUACAAAUCACUUGUGAAGGCAAUAUAAACUAACAGCAAGCUCAUCACCUGAUCAAAUUUUCGACCUUGGAUAAUAUCUGCAAGGGCAAGACAAGCUGCCUCACGAGAACGCCAAAGCCUAGAUCCACAUUGUACUAGAAGAUCAUCGAAGAUAUAGUCCAGGUUUUCAUCAAUGGUCCUCUUGGGGUCAGCCACUAGUGAUUUCCAUAUAUGUGCCAUAGCAUCCUGCAAAUGUCACAAUUACUCAGUAGUACUGAACAAAGAAUGUAAGAAAAUUUGGCAGUCAGUAAAAGCAGGUAAUUCCAAGAAUUCGCCAAAUUUGAAGGAAAACAUUUAUACAGCAUUGGUGUUAGCUAAACAACUUCAGUUAAGAAUAACGGCAAGCUGAAGCAAUGAAGAACUGUUCUUGUAUCAAGGACUCUUACCUGCACAUUUUUAUCAGGAUCAUAUUGGUAGCGAACGAGCCUUGGAAUCAAUAAUCUUAAGUGUGGUUGAAGAGCAUCACCUGCUUGCUUGGCUAUCUUAGAAAAUCCAAAAGCAGCACCUCUCUUGGAAUUUAGUGAGGCUUGAUAAUUAGCCAAAUCCAUAAAUUUAUAAAUUAAAUCUGGUUGUCCCAUCUCAUUUGCGAGAUUGCAGAGCUCCUUGUAAGUGCUCAGUUUCCCCCCACUAAGACUUUCACCAAUAGUCCCUUCUUGAAAUACUUCCGAGUCUUCUACCAACUGAAAAGGAAUUUACACCCAUAAACAAGGAGCAUAAAUCAAAAAUAAAAAUCCAGGGAAAGAAGAAUAAAGAAUAAAAUUAAGGAUUUAACAAAAGCUUUUCUAAUCGGUUUCUAUCUAAUUUAGGUAAUGAUGUUUGCUAAACACUGAUUUUUAAUCUUAUCUAUGGUUUCUAAGCUUUAGGCUGAGUGGACAGAUUAGCACAAUAAGAUGCAAUUAGUAGCUUAUGAUCUCUGGCGCCAAUGUUAAAUAGUUUGAUUACAAAUUCGAUAACUCGUCCCCUAAACUACAAAACCCUAGCAUUUAUAUGACGAUAGUGCUGACACUAAAAUCAUGCAUCAGUAUAGCCUUCUUUCUAAGCCAAAAUAUGACAUCGUAACUUUACCUUGAUCGCUCUUUUCCUCUUUCCUGAACCAGUCAAAGUGGUGACAAGUGCGUCAACCAGGUUUUUCUUCAUUGAUGUGUCACCAAGGUCAUAAACAAUGCUCAUGCCUUGGGAUGCAAGCUCCUGCGUAAGCUCAUUCUGCUCACCUAGUAGGAACGAAAACGCCUCCUGCAUUCAAUUGAAAACUUUUCAAAGCAAUACCCAAAACUAAUUGUGAAAUGUUAAGCAUCCAACCUAAAACCAGCUAGCAAUAGGUGGAGGGACCUAACUUGAAUAUAAGAACACAGGAAACCUAUGACUGACACCAGUUAGUACUCCCCCUCACAUCAGAUGUAGCUCAACAAGGGCUUACACAUGGACAACCUUACACAGGAUUAGGCAAGAAAAGAAACACGACAAAACCUGAACCCUGAUACCGUGUUAAGCAUCCAACCCAUUAUUAAUUGAAACUAGGCAGAUGCUUAACAUGAAGACACUAGACUAGAAUAACCAGUCAGGAAGGGGGGCAAUUCAAUUAAUAAAGAGGAACCUCCACAAAAUACAAGCCUGCAUGAAAUAUCCGAUAUGAUAGACAGAUUCUUUCCUGACUAUGGUCUCUAAAUGAACGAAAUUUUAACACUAAUAAAUUGGCACAUGAAAAAGUCAACCCAAGGAAGGAACAAUCCUACUUUCUAGUGAUGAUAUAUUCACCUCUGAUCAUAUGUCUUUUACCAGGAGAUAACAAUGAUCAUUUUAAGAAGUAGACAGCAAAAAAAGAUAGGCAGUGGAUUUGGUUAGCUUAUAGGCAGUGGAUUUGGUUAGCUUGAAAACCACAGCAAGACUAUGCCUUUGACUCAAUUUCUAUGCUAGACUUUAGCUAGCAUGUUUGCCUUCACAUAUUCAUCCUUAACAAAUAUAGAUCAAUUUAUUCAUCAUUUUGAGAUGCAACUUGAGAUCAAAGAAGCCAGACAGUUACUCAUUUUGCUUGAAAGCUUGACAUAAUAUUCACUAGCAAAAAUCAUCUUAAAGCAUGUAAUUUCAUUGGGAUUGUAUGUGUAAGAAUAAAGCUGACGUAGUAGACCGUCCUUUUUGUUUUUGCUCGGCAGGUAGGUAGCUGAAUCUUUCUUUUGGAUUGGUCAAGUAAUGCCAGAUACAGUAGCCAUUUUGUCCUAUGUUUGAAAUAAGUGGUGGAAAGAAAACAUAUGAAAAUUGAAGUAUUAUUAUGUUCGAUGUGGUGUUCAUGGAGAGAAGUACUCAAACCUAUGAAUAGAUAGAGGUUGACAUAUAAAGGACAACACUGUUGUUUUCAAAAGUCUCAUGUCUCAUUUCCUUCAUAUUGCUAUAUUCAAGAGGUAGACGGUUUCAGCUAGUGCAAAUCUCUAGAAUUUUUCUAACCUGCUUGAGUUGCUCUGCAUUCUUUGUACUUGAAACAAAACUUUGCUUAUAAUAGAAAAAGAAAAGGAAAAAUCAUAAAACUAUUAAUCAAAGUAGUAUUCCAGGUACAUAACUCCCACUGAAUCCAGCUCUCUGGGAAAGAUAGAAAAAAUAUUAAGAGGGUUCAUGCACAGAAAAGAAAGCAUGAUUAGUAGUUUUCAGAGUUGUCGAUGUGACUUUGUGGCUACCAUGAAGAGUUUCCUCAUGGCUAGAAUUAAAUAGUUCCUCACACAUCAUGAAUCUAGGGUAACCAGAAAGAGGAAAAUUGUAUUAAGUUAUAACAAAAUAAUAACAAUGCAAUCUCUAAAAUCAAAACACAUCGUUCCUGAAGUGUCAAUCAGGUUGCUAUUAGAAACCAAAAAGUGUUUCUUCUAUUUUCCCUUUCUAGUAAAUAAUAUUAAAUACAGAAGAUGGUGAUUUCUGAAGUUGUGGCUAACCUGAAUUUCUGGAAGCAUUUGUUGGAUGGUAGGAUGAUCACCACAAUACAUUGUCAGUGAUAGAAGCCAGACAGUUCCAGCACAACGCUCUUCUUUUCUACUACUAUACAAAAGAGCAUCAAAUAAUUUUUUACUGAUAGUAUCUCUAACCACCAUAUGGCAAUCUUCACUGACCACAUUUUUCUCAUCAGAACUAUAUUUGGACAAAGAUAACUUCAUAUCACCCAUAAGAAAAUUUGAAGUCAUGGAAAGUGAAGUAUAGUUGGUCUUGAGAAUCACAUCAGCAGUUACAGGAACACCACCCCAGAUAAAUGAUAGAGCUUCUCCAGCAGCAAAUAAAAUAUCCUCAACCUACACAAAUAAUAAUUAUAAAAAAUCACUAAACUGAGUGCGUUUCCUAAUUACAUGCACAACUAAAACCAGAUAUAACUCUCCCAAAGAUUUGUUUUAACGAUACAAGCAAUCUGCUAAAAGAAACUACUUGUAUAUUGUAACAAAUCUACUAGCAUUCUAUACCAACCUUUGAUCGGCAAAGACUAAAAAUCAAAUCAAGCGCAAUUUUCAUGUCAGAAGCAGAAGUUUCUUUCACACACAUAUGCCCGAUAGAGAUAACAAUUUUCUGCACCGCCUUAUUGUCGUCCCCAGAGAGUAGCUUGCUCAACUUUUCAUUCAAAAGCUCCAGAAUGCUAACUGCAGUUUCAAUUUUAUUAGCAAGGUCAUAGAGCAUUUUGAACAAACAUAGCAGUAUAAAAUCAGUAUAGGUUAACUUCACCUGAACUAGAAUCACAGACAAGUGAAGGUAAUGAUCCAGAGAGCCCAAUGUGACCCAGUGCUUGCAUAGAAAUUGAGGCCAAUGUUGCACUCUCAGAAUUAACAACGUCAACAAGGCAUUUAAGUGUAUUUUGCAAUAGUUCCUCUUGGAUCUGUUCAAUGAUGAAUGUCAAAUAUGCAUGAAUCUCAAAAAGUGACCGAACUAAAAUAAUUUAAUGUAAUAAAUUGAACACACAAUUUUGGAAGAAAAGCAAAAAUUUUGAAAGCAGCAGCAUUAAAAAGAAAUAUUUGGAAAAAGAAAACAAAUAUUUGGUUCCCCAUCAAGAUAAGAUUAUGCUCCUUUUGCCUCUACAUAGUUAUACUGAUUUAACAAACUGCAUUAUUUGCCAGGUUAUUAACCUUUAGACAAACUUUGAUUAAGGAAACAGGAUAAAUGAAAUUACAAGAGAUUCAAGCCUAAAAACUUCAAAUAGCGAUUUGGCUCCAAACCUCAAAAUAACCACGCUAAAACAAGAAUUACAAGGAAUGCAUGCAACAGCCACCUCAGAGACCAUGCAUAUAAUUUUCCGGGUCAGCACUUCACACUAUAGUGUAGCUCAUAGCACCAAUGAAUUGGUGAAGAACUUGCAUGAACAUUAUGAGUAUGCUGCCUAAUUUUAAAAAAAAAUCCAAAAGUCAUAAGUCUAUUUUUAUAUUAUAAAACUUACAGAAGGUGAUCUGGAAACACAAUCAGCAGUGACAAAUCCUGUAGCACAUAGUGCUCCAUGUUGCACUUCAAACCUGAAGAAUAUUUAAUUCAGUUGUAAAAUAAAAGAAAACAUCAAAACACAAGUAAUUAUUCCAGAUAUCUGACUUAUCAUACACAGUAUACCCACAAACCUUUUGUUUGUUCCACUGAACAAGGAGACCAGUUCACGUAUAAGGUCAGAUGAUGCAGUAACCGGAAGAGAAGAGGAAGCAAUUCCAAGCAAACGUGCCACAGAUUCACGGGUAUCCAUGUCCACAUGACUUAAUAAGUGCUUUAACCAUGAUAUUCUUGAAGCAAAGUGUGAUGAUACCAUCUUAAAAACAAUAAUAUUAAUGAUAAAAGAGAAUGUCAGCAAAGAAUAUAAAAUCUAACAGCAAGAUAGAAACAAAACAAGACCAGCAACCAAGCCUGGAAAGAUGCAGCAGUAACAGCAGUACACCAAAGUACAGAAAACAUGCAGCACUAACCUCUGGAAGAUAAGAUCCGAUUGUUACCAAUGCCUUGGAAGUAGUAGAAUGUAACUCGACAGAGCCUUCAAAUGCCAUAGCAUGCUCUAGUAGCAAGCACAUUCUUUCCACUGAAGACAGAAAUUCAGAUGAUCUUCCUAAGGAGCUGUUUUGCACCAACUCAGACUCAAAGCACUUCAACAAAAAUUUAAUCAUUGCCACAUACAUUUUUGAUGGAAAAAGAAGCUUUUGUUCCCUCAUUUCAUAUGAAUCUAACAACUUUGUCUGCUGCUUAAGAAUAUAGUCAAGCAUCUCUCCAAGCUUGGGAUAUCUAUGAUCCAAAUUUUGACUGAUUAUUUGCCCUGCAUCCUUACCAAGAAAUAACCCUUCAAGUGCAAUUUCCCUGUUUAAAAGAAAAAGGGGGGGGGAUGGGAGGGGGGUUUAUAAGUACCAACGUCAGUUCAAUCACUUUAAGAAUGAAAAUGUAAAUCGAGAGUAAAGAAGACAAGCUCAAAACAAUGAGAAAGAUUAAGAUUUGAGCAUAAUACUACAGCACCUCAAUAAUGUCUAAAAGUCACAUCUCCCUUUUGUAUAGAUUAGGAGCAAUUGAAGUACCUAUAUGUCCUUUCCAUUAAGGCUUAGGAGCAAUUUUAUGAAAAUAAUGCAUUGAGAACACUUUUAAUUGCAAUAUUAUUUAAAUAAUUCAUUGGCUACAAAAUCACAUGAUAUAAGUGGCCAUUCCAGUUUCCAAAACAUUUUAAGUAUUGCCAAAAUUCACUAAACCAUCAAGUUGCAUACAAGUCAAUGCAGAUUUUUCCUUUUUUUUUCUUUAACAAACGUAUAAGAUGAAGUGCAUGUAAGAUUCUGAUUAUUAUAAAAACCAAAAGUUUUCAAUUUAUUGAAGAGUGCAGCCUGUAGCAACAAUACCUGCAUUAGUACAUAAAGCUCCUAUUUCUUCAUAACCAAUUGGUUCAACACCCGAGUUAGUACAGAUGCUAUCAUACAACAACAUCAUGCACCUAUCAAGUUAUUUUUUUCUGCUUUCACAAACAAGCAAACAUUUUUCUCAUAUUUUCAAUCAUAUUCUCUCUUAUUUAGUAGAAUGACGCAUCUUAACACUGCAAAUAGAUAUCCUUUCGCAUCAUUAGUACCAAAAUCCCAAGAACUUAACUGAUUACUUAUUAUAUUUCCACCGGGAAACCUAAAAUCUUGUUUUCUUUCCUUUCUUACUCUUAUUCGUUUCUUCCCAUUCAUUCGUUAUCUGUAUCACUAAUUUUAGAUUUCUUGAUAUUUAAAUCAUUACCUCCCCACUUAAUGCACAUUAUAAAAUUUUAGUUCUGUCCCCUAAGACAUCAUCUCAGGUACCUAGAUAUGGUAACCUCUUCCUGCUAUUCCCUAGCUUUCCCCAUUAUAAUCUCAUAGUCUGCUUGCACAGUAUCUCAUUCCAAUCAAACCACACAAAACAGUUAAAACACCAUAAGCAACAACAAUGGUAAUUGCACAUUCAUCACGGACAACAGAAUGGGCAGGACCACUGCUAGAAGGCACUAUUAGAAUUACAAAGUAAUUGAAGUAUGUGAUGGUGUAAUAGCAUAGAUUGGCCGCUGAAUGAUAAAUAGAUGGUGGAAAUACCCAAGGAAGCUAAAUUCUAUAAAAAUAAGCAACAAUGAACAAGUACAAAGAGUCCACGUAUCCCAUUGCACACAGAAUACAGAUGCAAAAGCCAAAAGGAGUUCUUUAUUCCACUAUAAGCAUAAAGACAAUGUCAGCUACCUUAUAUCCAACCUAGAGUCAGCUGCUCCAAGCAUACAGAUAAAUCGACUGGGACAAUGUUGUGAAUCAAACACAGAUGUUGCCCACCUUAAAGCACAAAAUCGGACUUCACUUUCUUCCUGUUAGUCAAAAUAAAGUUUAGAUGCCCUCAGUUGGGCGAAUUAAAGCCAAACCAGCAUCAUGGACCAAAAAAUUCGAAUUUUCAAGUUGAAUAGAGAUAAGUCAACAAACAGGAAUUAGAGUUGUAGAAGACUAGUACCACUUGACAAUUAUUCAGCAACAGUGACUCCAAUUCUGUUAGGACAGCAGCUGAAGCUCCCUGAUGCUCAUAAAAACAGUACAAAGUCCCCAGCUCAAUAUCAAAGGUUGGAAGGAUUGGACAUCUACAAAUAUUAAAGCUUGAAAGCCUUGCAUAUUGACUCGACAGUCCAAAAGCAUUAUUUUGUACAAGAAAUUAUUUAUAGGAAAUUGCAUUGUGUCAAGCAAACUAUCAAUUUAGCAUCAUAGAUCAUAACAUCUUAUAAAAGGAGGUCCACAAAUACAUACUGCAUAAAAAAGAGUCUCUUGGUCAUCAAAGACAGAUCAAUGAAGAGAUUAUAGUGGUUAUAUACACAUAAGAGACCAUUUCUAAAAAGUAUUCAGGGGACUAUUUAAACUUUGAUACAAUAUAUCUUUCUCUAAGAAGAAGACAACAGAAAUGAAAGUCAAAUAGGAUUCCAUACCCAGUGUAGUUCUUAAGCAAAUAAAUUAAACCUCUCCGUGGGGGAAAAAGCAGAUUUAUUUAUCAUUUUUGAAUAAAAGAAGCCAAUUUUAAAUUAGAAUAGUUUGCUGCUUAAUUAUAGUUGAGCAUGGAACUGAACAUAACUAUAGCAAAAUAAUAAUAUAUCCACUCUAUUUAUAGAAAGAGUAGAACUUCUCCCUCAUAUAUGGACUUUCUCCUGACACGUCCAAACAUAAAAGGAAAUAAUUCACUAUGGAGUCAGAGAAAAUAAGAAGUGUUAUACAUAUAGCAAAAAUACAAAGGCAUGUAUGCUUUUGGAAAUUGUAGGGAAACAUUACACAUAUGCCCAGGGUUAUUUUUGCAAUUAACCAACGGAUAUUCCAUCCUCCAGUGUGAUUAGCUUUAUAGCUCUCUAUAACUAUGCAAUUAAACCAAAUGGCUUUCAACAAAUAACUAGAGAAUAUGACUGAAGUUUGUAUACCAUGUAGGCAGCAGCAAGCGAAUUUGUUGCUUCUUGGAUGAUAAAACGAAGAGAUUGGGACUCUACUUUCAAUGCAUGAAAUAGACGAGUAGCCAUUUCAAUUUUGUCCCUGAAAUGAGAGCAAAAAGCACUCAGCGCAUGAGAAUGGAACCACCAGUUAUGAGACUAGACAGAUAGAAGACCUGAAAAGUUGUGGCAGACGCUGAGCAAGCAGGCCUAUUGCUUGAAAAGAGAAGGUUCUGGUGCUUCUUGCAACUGAAUCUGGGUGAAUGAAAUAUAUUAAAGUAAAUUUAGAGUAUUCUAUAGCUCAUAAUCGAAAUAGUUAUGUCAAAAUGAAGUUCAGGAAACUAUUCAAACAGAUAACCUGAUUCUGAAUUUGAGUAACCAUCAAGCAACUUCACAAUCCCAUUCAGAAUGAGAGGGCCCAUAAGUUUCAGUUGAUCAAGUUUUGACUACAUAAACGGAAAAGAAAAUGACAAAAGGAAACAAUAUAAAUGAAAAUAAAGCUUUUCUUAGGGAAAAGAAAAAACCAAACAUAGAGUGAGAAUGAUAAUUGAGGCAAAUAUAUAUAGAAAAAGACUGACAAUAUUUAAGAAGCUACUAAGCAACUUUUUAUUUUCUCUCUAGCAGAUUUUCCUAGCAAUCACAGCAGGCCUUUGCCACAAAACAAGUAGGGACAGCCCUGUCACCAGAUAAAAGAAAAUUGUUCAACCCAACUCAGGGUGGACUAGCUAGAGAUAAACCAGACAAAACCUAUUGUAUCUAGAAACUUGUUCUUUUAACAUGUUCUGGAUUCCUCUUGGUAAUACAUAUGCAUUUUGCAUACAGGAACUACAAGAUUCCUCCCGCACCCCCUCACCCACCCAGUAUCUAUGCCUAGAACCUUUGCCAAUAUAAUACUAAAUGAAUCAAACAAAGUUUCUCAGGAGCUAAGUUGCUACUUUAAAAAGUGACCUGUAGUGAAAAGAAAACCAGAAUCCAGUUAUUUUGAUUGCUAUUCAGGAUUUCAGCAAGUUUUCUCUUAGACUCUUACUUGCAUUAUGAAUUUUUCCUGUUAAUGUUAACCAUAUCAACUUGAAGCCUAAAACUAAGCCUUAAAAGACAAGCCCAACAUGAAACUCCCUUUCACAGAUUCUGAAUUUCUUUUCCAUGAUCAUACCCUUUCAUUACCUCACAGAGUGCACAAAUUAAAAAGUUCUUAAUAAUUGAAAAUUAAAAAGAAAUCAAAUAAAAAGGUGCUCACAUGUUUGAAGACCCAGACAGUAAAUUCCAUUCCCAAUUGCUUCAGCCUUGAAGUAGUAGUACUUCCUAUAAGAUUAAAAUUUUUCAAAAUGCAAAAGAAAAAAAAAAUCAGCAUAUGGAAUAUAAAUCCACCAGCUCAACAUGCAGUAGGUGAAUAAUAAGUAUCGAGAGAACUCAUUUGCAAUGAGAAGCAAAAGACAACUAGCAAAUAUAAUUUUACCACAGAAAACCCAUUACUUUUGUCUAUGAAAGUGUGCUCCACAUACGAUCUCCAAAUUUGGUUACAAUAAUUUUCAGAAUCUACCAUUUAGGAAAAAAAAAACAUAACUCAUGCAAUUAGGUUAAUUUUAUCAUGUCAAUGGACCUUAUUUGAAGUUCAAGUGAACUAGGAUGACUACUAUUGUGAACUACAUAAACAGACAUGUGACAAAUUUUUUUUAAAACUUUUUUAGGAUGUUCAGUUAAAUUUUAUGUUAGUCUGGACCUUUGAAGUGUUACAAUGGUUCUCAAACAAGACCUUAUACUUUAAGGAUUUCUGUCCAUUUCUUAUUUGUCUCUAUAGCCUUUAUCAUAGUAUCCCCACAGUAUUAGCAGAAAUCUCUAAGAUGCUGCUAUUCAAAUGUAGGCUUUGUUGUUUAAAAUUCAAAUUCAAGUGGCAUGCAAAAUCCAGAAACUUCCCAUAACUUCCUGCCCUAAAGUAAUUUAGUGGCUAAAAGUAUAAACCUACUUUGAUAUGAUUGCAGACUAUCUCGAGCUAGAUUUCAAUUCUAAUCAAAUAUUGGUGGUACUUUAUUGCUUGCAAACCUCAAAACUGAAGGAAACAAAUGCUAAUCUGGUUCAUUUAGGCACAAGUGAAUCAGGAAUAACAUUUAGACAUGCAAUAAACAAUGUGCUUAAGGUCCCAAUUCUCCAAUAUAUAGAACUUAUCAGGUUUUCUUGGUUAUAUGGAAUUCAUUUCAGUAUUAGGACCAUCAAGGUGAAAGAAUACUCUUAUGUAUUUUAUUGCAUUGAUAAGGUGAUGAUAAAAACUUGUCCAGCACCAGUCUAUAUCACGUUAAGAGGAAGUCUGAUCCAAGUAACAAUACAAAUGGCACAAUCAUUGAUCCACUGACAAGAUUAAAUUUCCUGAAAAGUUAAAAUGGACAUUUAUGGCAGCAAACUAUCAGUACUAGUUUGCAAUUUUAUAACUUAUUAUUUGAUAGACUGAAGAGAAUUGCUAACAGGUUUAGACUAUGAAGAGGUCGCCUGAGGAAGCAAGAUUUCACUAUUAUUACUACUAAGUUUACAGCCUAAGAACUAUAUCCUUUAGCAGCCCUUUUUUAGCUUGCUAUUUUAGUUCUUUUCUUGUUCUAUGAUGGACAGCUUCAUGGUUAGGAUAGAUAAGGCUUUGGGUUUAAUCUUCUCAGAAUAGAGCUUGCUCUUAUUAACCCAAACUUUCAUCUAGUAUGCAAAGUAACUUCCUACUUGUUCCCUUCAAAAAGCUGGAAUAUUAUUUUUCAGUCAUAGCAUGUUAUAAUUCAUUUUAACUUUUUGCUAUUCGCGUCACAGGAUAAAAACAAUAUGCCAUGUACCAUAUAUGCAGUCAAAAAUGCACUGCAAGGUUGAUGGGAAACUAUUUGCUGCUGUGAUGGACCGACAAAAUACGGCCAUCAGUUUCACUUUCAAGGUAGCAUUUCCAGGAUUGACUCUUGAAUCCGUGGCAGUAUUUUCUGCACCUGUAGUGCCUUGAAAAAUAGUAAAUAAGUUGUGUUACCAAAAUAUCCCACAAGCAUAAAAAAAAUAAUAAAUAAAUAAAAGAAAGAAAGAUAAUGACUGUAACCUAAGAAGCAAUAAUUACUAACCAAAAUUUCCCUUAGAUUCAGCAAUGAAAGCAUAAAUGCUCAAAAAUUGAUUAAAUAAGUUCUUUCAGAAGAGAAUGAUUGUAACCAAAAACUCAAUAAAUACUAAAAAAUUACUUCAAAUCUUAGCAAAUCAAAUAAUAAUUUGCUCUUCAAUCUUUAUGCUGGCAGACUCAAAGUUCGGGCUGACAAACUUCAGAUUCAUAGAAGAAAUGCUAAUAACAGAUUAUAUUCAGAUUGACACGUUCUAACAGAUUGGCAUCUCCCAUCAAAUCUUUAUAAAAAAAAUCAAUAUUUCAAACAAUGUAUUUCAGCACAUCAACAUCUCUCAGCAUAUAAUUUGAACCUUUAUUUAUUGAAGCACAUAAUACAAGUGAAGUAGCAUUCUUACACAUAUAUCAUGAAAAAGUCGACCACAGCUUUUUUUGAAAGAACACAUUUGAAUAUUUAAAAAGUGGACCAACUAUUUGAAACAACCACCUAAAAGAAACUUCCAAAUGUUCUUACAGUAAUGGAGUUGUCAUUCAUGAUUACAACAAACUAUGGCACUACGAAAUUGAACGAGUAUCACGUUUCAAUGCAAUAUUAAGUGAGGAAUACAGCAAAAAGGCUACUGUGUAGAAGCUGGGUUCUGCAAAAUCUAUGGAAGCAGUGCAUACUGCUGUAAAAGUUGCCUUGUAAAGUUAGGAAGACAUUUGUUAAGAAUUAAAGAGGUUUCUCAUCAGAUAAUUCCUAAUUUUGGGAAUAUAGACGAGAUUUACUAUGAUGAAAGAGUUUUGGCUGAAGUUGAAAUAAUCUGACACAGAAAAGUUCAAACUGUUAACAAGGUGCUAAUGUUUAAACCGGGUUCCAAUCAUUUUUGGAUAUUUCUGUCAUUAUGAGUUCUGAGAUCUCAACCAUUGAUUUUCCUAGCACAUUAAAAACUGCGAAUGUAUCAAAAGUCAAAACAGCCAAACAAUCAUGACAUAACUGAGUCAUCAGCAAUAAGGUUACUGCUUUAAUAUGGAAAACAAUCAAACAGAUUUCAACCUCUAUAAACCGAGUUAAAGCAAAAGCUUUAUCACGACAUAACUGAGCCAUCAGAAAAAAGGCAGCCAUUCUUUUAUUUUCUCACAAUAGAGCUCAAAACCCAGAAAAUGGAAUACAUAUGAAACAAAGACAGCCAGUAUGAUGACACAAAAUAUUUAAGCCAACAAAUUUAGCAAAGAUUUUAUUUGAUCAGAGAGAAAAAGAAUCACUUCAUACCAGUAAAAAGUAGAAACAAUCUGCUAAUCAACCUCAGAUCAUCUAAAUUAGCACCAGAAGCCUUUCUUUUUAUGAGCUCCUCUCCUCUCUUGACAACAGGCUCUUGACUUAACAAACCAACCAAAAAUAAAUCAUUGUAGUAAGGGAAAGAAGUAAAUUUAAAUUUGGAUAAUGUCAGGAAUAGUGCAUAUACCAUGCACUUCGUUCAAAGUGGUACCUUUAUGCUUUACUUUUAAAAUGUCCAAUAUGGCACUAGUAUUAUCAAAUAGUGUGCUAAUGUGAUAAAUGGGCUUAACAUCAUCGACCAGAGAGGGAAACAUGAGAUGAAGGGGGGAAGGGGAAAAGUGAGCUCCCAGCAGUGUAGUCAGUCAGGGUCGAACUGCCUCAGACUGGCCGACAAGCACUGCCUAACAACACUCCCCCCCCCCCUUUUUUUUUCUCUGCUUCCUUUGGCCCUUUCCCUCCCUUCCAUCUUUCCCCCUUUCUCUCCCAAUUCUCUUCUCUUUCCUUUUUAAACUUUUUCCAUUCCAUUUUAAUUUUUUUAAAACAAAUCCAUAUUAAAGUUCAAAUUUUUAUGUUCUUCAAAAAUUUUAUUUAAGAAGGGUCUAGAUUUUAAUUUUUCUGAUAUUUCUAAUUUUCGAGUUUGUAUUUUUGUUUUUAAGAAAAAUAUUUGGGGGGGGGGGGGAAUCAGUUCUUAUAAGGAAAAUUAAGUUUUAAAAGUAAAAUAUAGAUUAUGAUACGGACCCAAAUUACACGUCAUCUGAAUGCCAGGUGUCAUCUUUUGACUGGAAAACAGCCAUAUCAAACAUGUCAUUAACAGUAUUAACCUCAGAUACUAGAUUCACACAGAAUGAUAGUACCUUCAACAUUGUUUUAAAAAACAGAUACCACAAUGAAAAAAAGUGAUACAAAAGGCUAUUCAUGACAUUAUACGUACAAGUUUAAUUUAAACAGGCAACUUGAAUUGUAUACCUAUCUGCACUAGCAGCCAAAUAUACAGGAUAAACAAGUUCAGGAGACAGCUCCAUAGCUUCAACAAGAUUCAAGAUCCCCAACUGUUUUUAGAGAACCAAACAAACUUAUACGAAUUAUAUCAUAUUCUCAGGUCACUUUAGGUCACGUGACCUAUAGGAAAAAUGUAAUCAGUGAACUUACGAAUACAUGUGUUUUCACAACUAACUUAUAAUAGAGGCCAUAUAUCAGUGUCAAGAAACAAGAAAUUUUCAACUCACCUUUCUUGUUAAAAGCAUAUCACCUUUCAAUGGAACCUUCCCUGCAAUACGGUUAGCUUGAGCAAUGGAGAGCCCCGGUGAGCUCCCUCCUCUACAGAAAAAAAUAUAAAAAAAGUUUAGAAACCUUAGAAAUGAAAAUGACAAACAGAUGAUUGUAGUAUCCCAUUGUUAAACAGAGUUCCAAACCCUUGAGCUGGUGGUUGGUACAAAACUGUGUGAAGGCAAAAUUCAAGAAAUAAAUCCCUGUCAUGAGAAUCAUUCAUUAAUUUAUACUUCGCAGCGAUCUCAUUCUCAACACGGCUUGCAUGACAUUCACCAAUUACCUGAAACCAUCAAAAUGCAAAAUGUAUCAGCAUUGUCUCAAAAUAUUUUAUUUUCUUACAAAAUACAGUGUUAAUCUAUAUGGGUAUAAUGUUGUGUGAGCUUUUGCGCGCAUACAUUCCACAACUACUGAGAUUUUGACGUAACGGAUGAUUGGCCAGAAAGAGUGAAUUAUGUGGAUAUGAUUAACUUUUUGGACCUCGACUGCAUCAAUGAAGUUAACUAAUUCCAUUAUACAUUUCCUUCAUUUGAAAUUGCUAACAUUAGCCAUCUUCUUGAUUAGACAUGAUUGAACAUUAGGCUUUACUUGUAUAUUGGAGUAAAAGAUCGGUUCCAACUUCUAAUUUGUUUGCUCAGCCACUCAAAUGUUAACAAAAGAUGCAAGAAGAAGACGGAUCACAAAACGAUUUGCACAUAUACCUUAGUAGCAAUUCUCAUGAGAAUCUCUUGGUGUUGCUGAGGAAGUUUAGAAAUAUUUACCACAAGCAUAGGAGACAAAUUUUCUUUUUCCUGUUUCAAAAGCAAAGAUUGAUAAUGAAUUGCUACAACAAACCAAAAAUAUACUAUUAAUUCCCAAAAAUGAGAUUUUGGACUGGAAACAACAUGGACACACCUUCAAAGGAGCACGUUCAAAUGCCAUUUCAAUAUAAACAAUGCAAAAAUUCUUAACCAUUGGAGUAGCAUCAGCUUCUGUAUACAUUGACCAUAAUUCAGUCAAUGGUAGACCAAUCUCAGGCUGGUGUUUCACUCUCUUGUUGACAUGACUCAAUAUCUCAAGAACCUAAAAUGACAGAGCAAAAGUCAGAGUGAUGCACCUUUUACACAAUGAAUUUGACAAGUUAGGCAGCGGAAUAUGAAACUUGAAAUAUUAGGCAAGGUACAAAAGGCAAACAGUAACAAAGAAUGCACAUCAAACAGUAGAUGGCUGUCAGUUAUAGAUAUAUGUCAAACAUGGGUAUAUUCAUUUUUUUCAGCUCUUUUCAUAUAUUUGGAAGAUCAUACCUGCAUACUUAUGUCUGAAUGUAUGUUCAACACAUUUUAGAUACAAGUACUUUAGAGAUGGGAAUAACCGAAGCACAUAACUCUUUCCAGUGAAAUAUAUACAAUCAAUUGAUACUAAAUCAGGGGGGAAAAAAGGGAGGGGAAGAAGAGAUCAUAACACUUGAUAAAGCACCCUUCAAAUAUGUUUAGGAAGCAUGAUAAGGUUGGUUCUAGUACACAAGCCUUAAUUUGGCACAUGUAGAUUGAUUGGUACAUGAUGGGAAGCAUGAAGCUUUACUGUUGAAGAAAGUAAAUAAUAAUAAUAAUAAAGAAAAGGAGAAAAAUAGAGCCAAUGGGUCUGUCUAGAAGCAAAAUGAGACAAAUGGAACAGUACAAAAUUGCAUAACACUUUCAGUCUCCAAAAUAACAUCCUAGCAUUUGGAGUUUUUGACCGUCUCUAAUUCAAACCAUAGGAUUCGUAGGGUGGAAUUUAUAGAAUAGAAGAGGACCACAUGUGUCUAGCUUAGUAUCAAAAGUACAAAGAGAGAUAAAAACAAAAAUAAACAAGCAAGCCUUUCGAAUAUAUAUCUGCAAGAAUUGUUAGCAAAUGUCUAUAAAAUCAAAUGAACUAAAGUUAUUGAUUUGUUCUUCAUGAAAAAGAGGAACUCAGACAAUUCAAUUCCAAUACUAUUUCUUAAGGGAUCAUUCCGACCUCUUUGAAUCCUAAAUCUCCUAAAUUUAGCAGUGCCCUACACCAUUAUCUACUUUGAUUCCACAAGCCUUGAAGAAGUCUUGGGCAAUGUGUCACCCAAGAUAUUUGGCGGGUUAAUCAUUUUAUUACGACAUUAGACUCACAAAAUAACCAGCAGUGAUCAUAUCUACAUAAUAAAUUUCUCAGAACCACUUUUUGAUGGCAGAGAAGAAGCCAAGCGAGUGUGCUAACAGAAACAUUAAUCGAUCAAGCAAAUGCUUCCCACUGCGCCUUAUAAAUAAAUUAAUGCAACAAAUUAGAAGACUUAGAGUACUUCAAACUGGAUUCAGAUUAAGUACCCACUCAUCCGCAUUGCAUCUGGUUAAACAAGUAUCUUGAACAACAUUAUCUAGGAAUUGAAUCUAGACCUGGCAAAAAUACGCAUACGCAAAAAAAAUGGCAGGCCUAAAUGAAUCAAAAGAAUGUUAUUGCAAAAAAGAAGAAAAAAACAUUAUCCGGCGAAGACAUGUAUCUAAUUAUCAGCUGGACCAGCCACCGAUAUUUAUUAAUCUCUCCCAUGCUUAAUACUGAUCAAUUUCACAACAAAUAACUUAAAUUUUCAUAUACUUCAAGCAUCAAAUUACACAAAACAAAAACUUAAUAAGAACCGUCGACAGCGAAAAACAAAAACGAAAAUUUAAAGAUAAGAAACAGAAAAGAUUAAGAAAGGGAGGAUAAUCGAACCUUGUUGCGGACAAGUUGAGAUGAAGAGGAAAGAGAGGAAAUGGUGAGAGGGAGAAGCUUGGAAAGCAAGGCUUGGAGUUUGGAGUCAUCGCAAAGAGCUAACCUAGUCAACAUUCGAUCCAGCAAUUCUUCGGUCUCCGCAUCCGAUUUUGCUGCUGCCGCUGGCACCGAUGAUGAUUCCGCCAUUUCUUUUUCUUUCACAACAAGAUAGUUACAAAACCCAAAAGGACUCGGAAGAGAAAUAUCACCGAGCCCGCUUUUGCCUCCGCCUUUUAAAUAGCAGGGACCUUUUUCUUCUAAUAGUUUAAAUGAUAUUUUCUUUGUUAAAUGACGGUUAAAUUUUGAUAUACUUCACAAAAGUUUUUUAGUGCGACAAAUAUAUUAACAUAUUAUAUUACAAAUAUUACAAGUGUAUUUAAUUUCUGUACUUUAAUUUGUUUUUUAUUCACUUUAUUUUUCAAAUUUUAAAAUUUUAGUUAUCAUCAAACAAUAAUCAUUAAAUUUAUUAUGUUUUCUUGUUUUCAAAAUUUAGUACAACAAAUAUAUUGACAUAUAGGUAAUUUCAUGUCAACUUAUUAUUUUCACAUAUUACUUCUUAAAAAUCUUGUUAAUUGGUUAACAACUAUCAGUUCUAUCGAGAUUGAAAUUUAAAAGUUCGAAAAUUAUAAAGACUUAUAGUGAUCCAAUUAGAGAAUAUACACUAAAUCUAGAAUUAUACAUAUAUAAAUACUAGUAAUUGAAUUUAACCAAACAGAUUUAAUUGCUAUUAUUUAUAUUAGAAUUAAAAUUUCAAAAUUUGAAAAGUAGAUAAACUAAAAUUUAACAAUUUGAAAGAUAAAUGAACUCAAAUUGAUUAAAUUAUUACAGUAUUUCUGAACAAGUUAUUGGAUAACAAGCUUAGAGAUUUUCUUAUUGAUGAUAUCGGUAUUGAUGCUAGUAACGAUAUUGAUCGUGACCUUGAUACGGAGUUGGGGCUUCUAACUAUGAUGAAUGCAUUAACUGUGGAUAUGAUAUCGGAAAUAUACCGAUUUUACAUCACCCUUCAAUUCGAACUAGCAAAAGCAAUGUCUCCUUGCAUGAUAUGGAUUCCAAACAUUCAUUAUCUGGAUGUGAAUGAGGUAAAUUACUUAUCCUUUAGUCUAUUAGUGAACUAUCUCUCCAAGGAUUGUGAAAUAUGUUCUACUAUAAAUAUUAUUGUUAUUGCUUCGACUCAUAUUCCCCCAAAAGUAGAUCCCACUCUAAUAGCCCUGAAGUACAAAAAUUAAUAGUAGAAUUUAAUUCCGCCUCUAAUUUGAGUAAUUGUUAUUUUAAAUAUCAAUAAAAAAAUUCACAAGCUUAUUUAGUUUAUUAUUUGUGAGAGACUCAAACUUACUCAAGGUCUCAAAUACUUAGGGCAUUCGCCUUAACCAAUAAAUCGAUUUAAUUUUACAUUGUUUUAUUGAGACUAGGGAAGUCAACAUCCCAAUAAUUUUCUUGUUAAAAUGAAAUUUUGAUUCAUAGUAACUCUUGAAUAAUAUUUAAAUGUGGCGGCUUAAUGGUUAAGAGUGUUUAUCGACUCAUGUAUGACUAGAGUUUGAGUCGCACUAGUCGCAUUAAUUAUUCGAACUAAACCCUAAUAUUAUAAUUCACCAAAAAAAUAUACCCUCAUAUUUACAAUAAUUUAAUCACCGAUCAUCAAAAUUAACUAUUUGUAUUUAACUUAUAUGUUUCAACCAAAGAAUUUCCACGUUUUGAGUGCAUUUUGUUUUUGGAAGAGUGGUCCAUUUCUUUGAUAAUAAUUAAUUUUCUUGUGAAUAUAAUCUUUUAUUGGGGAUUAUUUCCUUCAGUCAUGAGAAUAUGAUUCAUGUAAGUAAUGGUAGGAAAGUAGUUUUUUGGUGGUUGAUUUUUUUCGUAUUUUUAUAUAAUAUUAAAAAUUUUAUCAUACAUGUAUAUACGUAAAAAUCAUAUAUUUAGAAUACAAAUGUACAUUAAGAACAUAUAAUAAAAAAUGACACCGUAAAAUUUGAAAUUAAUAAUAAUAAUAAUAAUAAUAGCAACACGUAUGUAAGGUUUAAAAAUAUUUUAAUAAUUUAAUUGAUUAAGUUAGUAUUAAAUUGACUUAUACUAUAAAUUUAGUCACACACUUAAAUAAUAAUAAUAAUAAUAUGAUGCUAACAACGUUGGUAGAAACUAUUGUAUAAUAAUAUCAAAAUGUAAAAAAAAAAAAAUCUAAGUAGAGUAUUGAUUGGAAUGACAAAAUUAAUGUUUUAUGCAUAUUGAUGACAUGUAUUCACUUCAAAUACCAUUAUAUACAAUUAUUUAUUAAUUUUAUUUAAAAUGUAAAAAGAAUAAAAGUACUUUUAUAAGAAUGUAACUUCUUUUAAAUAUAUAAGGUAAUUUAAUAUUUUCUUCAAUAAAGUUGGUGUCUGAUUAACUUAUGACACUAACACAAUUAGAGAUUAAAUAUUAGUAUAACGCCUUGUUUGGUUCGCUAUAAUGGGUAUACCAUUACAGCCCGAUUCGGUGGGCCCCAACUAUUUCGGCGUUUGGUUCGCUGUAAUGCCCAUUACGCGCCUAUUACAUUACGUACGUAUUCCUCCUUAAUCACCGAUUUCUAUUCCCUACCCAAAGUUCAGUUUAGCUUCCGUUUAGCCCUCUCUCAAUUUCUAUGCCCUGAUUUACCCUCAUCUUCCUAAGCCGAAAUCCACCUCCAGAACUCUCCCUCCCAACAUCAAACAGAACCUACCAGCAAAGUGACCUUCACCGCUCUCGUUUCACUUUCAUUUGAUUGUUUUGUCGAACCAAACGCACCCUUCUGUUCUUCAAAUGCAGUGAGUAGGGAAGUCCAAAAACAGACUUCUGUUCUUCAAAUCCCAAGUAUCUCCAAAUAAACCCUCAAGAAAACCUUUCCAAUUCAAUCAAGGUAAACAUUGUCUGCCCUAACAUUUUUCUUUCAACGUGUUUUCCCUUUUAUGUUUUUAAUGUCUAUGAUGAAAGAUUCAACAUUUCUAGAAAUUGAAUCAUGCAUUCACCUUUAAAAUGAGGUUUUAGAAAGUUUCUGAAUCAUGUAACUAUCAUUAAAAAUUGGCAUCUAAGGUUUCUGAAAACUAGGGCUUAAACUAGUUGAAUUGAAUCAUGAAUCCCGAUUUCAACGAUGAAAGAUUGCACUUUUUCGAAGGCAACUCAGAAAAAAAUUAGAAGUUUGAAUCCCAAUAUUCAUAAAAUAAAACUUUAAUUCAUUUGAUAAAGAAUUAGAAGUUGUAAUGGCUGCGAAUGAGUUACAGGGGAGUGCUUCAAGUAUGGUUAAGAGGAAAUCUUCGAAGGGUAAAGGGAAAGCUGUUAUUUUUGGUUCUGAAAAUAGGUUUGAGAUAUUGAAUGAUGAAUGUGAAUUGGAACAGAUUGAUCAAGGUCAACUGGGAGAAGAUUUAGUUAAUCCUUUUUUGGAAUGUAAGGGGUUUUAACAAUUCCCUCAAAUACAUUAGGGUUGUGAAUAGAAUGAAGGAGUUGAGAGUUGAUAUAGUUUGUUUGAUUGAAACUAGAGUAAAGGAAAAUAAUGUGACUGCUAUUGGAAAAGUGGUUUCAGGGUUGGAGGGGCAUUAACAACUACAAUGAUGCUGAGAAUGGAAGAUUAUGGUUUUUAUGGAUGGACUUUUUUGGAGGUUACAGAGUUUGUUAACACAGAUCAGACUAUCACAUGCAUGAUUAAAAGCUCUAAUCAAUUCUGGUAUGUUUCUUAGGUUUGUGGAAGUACUGAUGGUUGUGAAAGGAGGAGGUUAUGGACUCAUUUGGAGACCAAGCACAAUGUUGGUGCUUCUCCUUGGUUAGUAGCUGGGCAUUUCAACGUGAUAAUUGUCAAUCCUCAGGAGAGCUCGGAUUUUUCAGGAGUUUAUAAUUAGAGUACUGACAUUAAAAAGUUAGAAGUUGCUUGGAAGAGCUUGAGUUAGAUGAUUAUAUGUUUAGAAGUUGCUGUUGAUUUUUAUAAAAAGCUUAUUGGCUCUCCUGAUAAGAUUGUUUUUGAUUGUUCGCAUGAUCUUCUAAAAGAAGUAAUGCCUAAACUUUUUCUACUGAUGCUCAAUUUGAUAUGGCAAAGUCUAUUCCUAUAGAAGAGAUUAAGGUAGCUAUUUUUGAGCAAAAUGGUGAAAAGGCUCCUAGUCCGGAUGGGUGCACUGCCCAUUUUUACUAGAAAAGUAUAAAGAACAUUUAUUAGAAAUGAAAAUAAAAAUCUAAAUUCUAAAUAUACAAAAGAAUAAGAAUUAGAAACAUAUUUUAAUUCAUGAAAAACUUUCAAUGGCUGACCCGAAUUUUGGUAACUUGCAAGUAUCAAACAACAAUUUAUUUAAGAUUAAUGCAUAUAAGAAUUUCACUUAGUGCACUAUAAAUGAUGAAAAAAUGGUCAAUUAUUAUAAUUAAAAAAAUAUUAAAUACUGUAAAUAAUAUUCUUUUGUGAUUAACUUGUCAUAAAUUUGAAGUGAGACAAAAUAACUUGUCAUUUAGUGCAGCAAAUGACCAUUGCUUAAAUUAUUAGUUUAGAAAUGCUCUUUUUUGCUUUCUAAUUAUGGGUGGACUAUGUUCUGGUGAAGUUAUGUUCAGUGAAUAUGGUAUGUUCAUCUAUCCAUGUGAAAACAAGAGAAGAAUAAGAAUUUAUCUCGAAAAAGAAAGAAGUUUCUUAACCUUAUCAUUUACAUGCUAGAUUAUUUUGCUGAGACCUGUUCUAUAAUGUGCCUUUAUUCAACUAGCAUAUUUAUACAACUAUUUUGUUAUUUAUCAGGCAAUGGUGGCAAUAAGAAAGAGCCAGGCAAUAAGGGUAAUGAAAAAGAAGACGGUGAGAAUGAUGGCCAAAUGGAGGAUAGCGAUGAAGAUGAUGAAGCGGAUAACGAGGAAGAUAUGGAAGAAAGUGAAGAAGAUUAGUGCUUUAGCAAAGUGGAAGGUGCAAUACAACUUCCAUUUUCUGAUUAAAUGACAUGGCACUUGACAUUAGCCAUGUUCUUUACAUGGGGAAGAUGCUUAUCUGGAGUGAGGAUCUGAUAAGCUUUUAUGCCAGUUAGCCUCUUGUUUUUGCCUUUUUACUUCCCAGCUUUGUUUGUUUCCUCCUGAUUUUUGGCUUAAGUUUGUUGUAGAAGAUCCAUAGAUUUUGAUAUAAGAAAGAAAAGGCCAUAUUUUCAACUUUUUUUCUCAAAAUAUUUGUACUAGUAAAUCAAUUCACGUUCCUUAUGUGGUAAUAAUAUUUUAAUAGCAUGAACAUUGGCAUGGUAUCUCAGCAUGUCAGAGAAACUCCAUGCAAGCAGUAGAAUACACAAUGAGAGGUUAAAAAUAUCUGUAGGCUUAUAUUUGGGAGCAUAACAGAUACAAUAAGGUAAUACAUAUUAAGUUGAUUCUGAACCUAUUCUAUUGAGAAAUUUAAACAACAUAGAUUAUAAAUUAUAUUUAAUAAUAAUUAUUUUAAAUUAUAUUUUAUAGUAUUAUAUAUUAUGAUUUUAGUAAAUUCAUAUAAGAAUAUUUAAUACUAAGAAUUUUAUCAAAUUAUAUAUUUUUAUUAAAUUAUAUUUAAUAAUUAUUAUUUUAAAUUAUAUUUUAUAGUAUUAUAUAUUAUGAUUUUAGUAAAUUCAUAUAUUUUAUUAAAUUAUAUAUUUUUAUUAAAUUAUAUUUAAUAAUAAUUAUGUUAAAAUAUGAUUAAAUUAUUUAUUAUUUAUAUUAAUAAUCUUAUUAAAAUUUAAUAACAAUAACAAUAAUUAUCUACCUAACAAAAAUUCUGCAAAGGGUAUUCUAGUCAUUUUAGUUUUUUUUCUUAUGCUAUUCCACCUCUAUUACAUUCAACCAAAUACAAGAAUACCAUUACGGCUCUAUUCCAUUCCAUUCAACCAAACAAAAGAUUUACCUAUUACGCCUCUAUUCCAUUACGCAUCUAUUUCAUUACACAUCUGUUCCAUUACAGCGAACCAAACGUGCUGUAAGUUUUUACUAUAAAAUCUUAAAAAUUAUUUAACGUUAAAUUUAAUUUUAAAAAUAUCAAAUUUAAAUUUAAAUUACAUUCUAUCUCAAAUACAUACUAAAUAUUUUAAAUUCAAUCAUACAUUAACACGGAGAUUAAUUUAUUUAAAAUAAAUAGAUUAAUUUACAUGUUAAUAUUAAACUAAAUUUUGUUACAUAUCCUUCAAAUAAAUUAUUUUUUUGUGUGUGUAAAUUGUUUUAUAGGAGUAGUUUUGAAUUUUACCAUUAUAUUUCCGAUAAAAUGUACAAUAAACCAAAUUUAUCAAUGUAAUUUUCUUAUAAAUUUUAACUAAUAUUUUAUUAUGCAUAUCAAAUGUUAUAAUGUUACAUUCUUAAUAAUAUUCUCAGGAAUCACAUUAUAUUGAGAUAUUAACAAGAAAACGUACAAAAUAUUACAUAUCUUAUAUGUAAAAUGUAAAUUAUAUCUGACUCAAUCUAAAUUUAAUUAUGACUUAAAUUAUGCCAAGUGUAAGUUUUGUUUAGAAUUAUUUUAAUUUAUAUUGUGUUGGCCUCUUUUUUUUGGGUUACUUCAUGUCCGUUUUACGGUCCAUGUUUAGGGUUCGUGGCUGCCUCUCCCAACAAUGUCGUCUCCAAAGUUAGAACCUAAGUCUUUCCAUCAGGAGUGCAAUGUGUCUUACCAUUGCAUCAAACAAUAAUUAAAUCUAAUUGUUAUUAUAUUAUCAAUAAUAGUCUAUCUAUAUUAAAUUUACCUAGUUUUCUAUCAUCAAAACAAUUUUAUUUACAAGAAAAGAGUUAUUAAAUUUAACGAUUGGGAAUACCACCGAUCGGAUCCGUGGCGCAAUGGUAGCGCGUCUGACUCCAGAUCAGAAGGUUGCGUGUUCGAUUCACGUCGGGUUCAAACUCCUGAAACGGUCGGAUCUAUUUUUUUUCCUCUUCAGAUAUGGCCGAUCUGGGUUAAACUCGACCCGAGUCGUUCCUGAAAGAAUAAGGGAAUCCCUGCCUGCCGUCCGUUGAUUAGAGGUGGGUGAGGAAGUAAAGACUGUGAUUCCUGAUUCACUGUUGAAGAAGAUUAAGGGGAAUGAAGAAUGGGAGCUUGCUAAAAAGCAGGAACGCGAAGCUGCAGAGAGGAAGAAAGUCGAGAACCGCAAGCACAUUUACUGAAGAGCUAUGCAGUGUGCAAAAGAGUGUGAGACUCAGGUAUAUUUAAAGGUGAAAUCUAACGGAUCCGUGGCGCAAUGGUAGCGCGUCUGACUCCAGAUCAGAAGGUUGCGUGUUCGAUUCACGUCGGGUUCAAAAUCCUGAUACAGUCGGUUCUUUUUUUUUUUUGCCUCUUCGUAUAUGGCCGAUCUCGGCUAAACUCGACCCGAGUCGUUCCUGAAAGAAUAAGGGAAUCCCUGCCUGCCGUCCGUUGAUUAGAGGUGGGUGAGGAAGUUAAGACUGUGAUUCCUGAUUCAAAGUUGAAGAAGAAUGAGAGGAAUGAAAAAUGGGAGCUUGCUAAAAAGCAGGAAUUCGAAGCUGCAAAGAGGAAGAAUGUCGAGAACCGCAAGCUCAUUUACUCAAGAACUAUGCAGUAUGCGAAAGAGAGUGAGGGUCAGGUAUAUUUGAAGGUGAAAACUAAUGGAUCCGUGGCGCAAUGGUAGCGCGUCUGACUCCAGAUCAGAAGGUUGCGUGUUCGAUUCACGUCGGGUUCAAAAUCCUGUAGCAGUCGGAUCUAUUUUUUUCCUCUUCGGAUAUGGCCGAUCUGGGUUAAACUCGACCCAAGUCGUUCCUGCAAGAAUAAGGGAAUCCCUGCCUGCCGUCCGUUGAUUAGAGGUGGGUGAGGAAGUUAAGACUGUGAUUCCUGAUUCACUGUUGAAGAAGAAUAAGAGGAAUGAAGAAGGGAGCUUGCUAAAAAGCAGGAACUCGAAGCUGCAAAGAGGAAGAAAGUCGAGAACCGCAAGCUCAUUUACUCAAGAGCUAUGCAGUAUGCAAAAGAGUAUGAGGCUCAGGUAUAUUUGCUGGUCUUCUGGAUUUAUGUUACUUAGUUUUUGACAAAUCUUGAAAGCUUAUCACUUAUGUUGUCUGUGACCGGUGAUGUUAGGAAAAAGAGCCGAUUCAGUUGAAGCGGGAGGCAAAGUUGAAAGGAGGGUUCUAUGUGAAUCCUGAAUCUAAGCUUUUGUUUAUCAUUCGAAUCCGUGGGUAUGCUUGAUUAUUGUGACAUUACAGUGGCGUGUGAAUAUAAAUUCUAAAUGGUAAUAUGGUGUGAACUGUGAAUGAUUGUUUUUCAGUAUCAAUGCCAAGCACCCAAGUACAAGAAAGAUCUUGCAGCUCUUGCGUUUGAGACAGGUAGCUUAUUGCAUCAUUUUUUUUUUCCAAAACUAAGGGUGGGUUUGGAUGGGCGAUUGGAUGCAGUGCGGUGCAUUUAGUUUAAUUUUUAUGUCACGCUACAGUAUCGCUACGGUAUCUAAUCUCACCGCCACCGUUAUUUUUACACUAAACGCAGGUAAACGCAACGCCCAUCCAAACUCACCUAAGUGAAUUAUAGGUUAUGACUUACGAGAAUCCAUUUCCCAUUUCACCUUGCGUUUGACUGUGCUAGUCUUUAAGACUUUCUGUCCAAUUAAAAUUAUUGUUUAAAUUGUUUAUUUAUACUGUGAAGUUGUUGAAACAUCAGAUUGUUUGAUUUCAGUAGUAUGCUCAAAAUUAAAAGUUAAUGUUUUAGCUUCUUAGUGACUACCAUCUUAUUGUUAAAUGUGCAUGUUUUUGUAUGAUGCUGCUUCGACCUGGUAAAACUGGGGUGAAUGGUAGUUGUUGUAUCCAAAACAUUUUUAUAGUUCUUAUAAAUAAACAAAAUCUAAAGCUAAGUUGAUGCGUUUGCAUCUUAUUCAAUGCAGAUUUUCAAUGGCGUUUUCCUUAAAGUGAAUAAGGCAAAAAUGAACGUGCUUCACCUUGUUGAACCUUAUGUGACUUAUUGGUAUCUUUUACCUUUCUGGCUUCCUCGUUUUUUCUUUCACCAGUUCUAUAUAGUUGCCAUGGCUUAUUUCUUCUUAAUGUAUGCAUCUAGAUACCCUAACCCCAAGAUUGUUCGGGAACUGAUUUUCAAAAGAAGUUAUGGGAAGUUGAACAAGCAGAGAGUUGCUUUGACCGACGAUGCAAUCAUUGAACAGGUCUGUAUCAUUUUGCAUUUACAGAGUUUCAUGUUGGUGACAAGCAUUUAAGAAGCAUGCCUGUCGCUUUUACUGGUGACAGGCUUUGGGUAAAUUCGGCAUCAUCUGUGUGGAAGACCUUAUCCAUGAGAUCAUGACUGUGGGACCUCAUUUCAAGGCACCAUUGGGUGGUUUGAAGAAGAAGAGAAGCCAUUAUGUCGAAGGAAGAGAUGCCGGCAACCGUGAGAAUUACAUCAAUGAAGUGGUUAGGAGAAUGAAUUAAUAACUUGGUCUUAUUAGGAGGUAUUUUGGGUUUUAUUUGGAGGGAUCUUUAAUUUCAUUUAGAAAUUACAAACAGUGUUAGUAAAAGCAUCAAAUCUGCCUGGCAUUACCAUUACUCUACAAUGUGCUUGAGUUGAGCUUGAGCUUCAAUAUGAAUAAUGAGCUUAGCUCGAAUACAAAAAUUGAUAAACUGUUUAAAAGUAGAUAUUUGAUUGAGCUCAAGCUUUUCAGUAUUUAUGCUUGGCUAGGCACAAUUAACACCCCUAGUUUGCCAAGAAAUUUUAUUAGCUAUAGGCCCGAGUUGCAUUUUACGUCUUUUAAACUGCACUUGCUGCUUCUGUCAUAGACCACUAGGGAGAGUUACCAGAGCAUGUGUUUGUGGAGCUAAGUCCGAUAAAAUAGCAGAGUUCAAGUCUCGGCAUUUGAAUAAUAACGUUUCUUUUUGAAACUGGAAUUCCUAAUCCGCAUGUUGCCAGACCUAAGAACAUGAGAAAAUAAAGUGAAAUAAAACUUGUUUGAAAUCUCAUUCACCAUAUAUUUCCCAGGCUGGACAUGGACAUGAGCUGUUCACUGCCUGUUAGGAAGCGGAUGAGGAGUAACGAAUCAGAUUCAACUUCGAUGUUAGCCAGCUACAGCUCUACUAAUAAUUUCAGACCACAAAUGAUAGCAUAGCCAAAAGGCUUCCAUAUUAUGAGACGCAAGUCUCGUACAGCAUUUAGCAACCACAAAAUUUAAAAUUAUCACUUGAAUCACGCAACACUGCUGCAGUGCAAACCCCACAAUAUUUACUAUUUUGUUGGCUCCUACUUUGCAUCGACGUUGAACUUUAAACAACCCUCUCCUAGUUUGUUCUAUUUGCUGAGAUUGGAGCAUUACCAAAGCUCUGUGCAGACUAUAGUUUGCGCUAUCUACUUGGUCUAUGAAGUUAAGCCCCAAGGGUUCGUUUGUUUACAUGUAAAAGGUUUUACGGAAAAUAUUUUCUGCAUUUUCCUGUGUUUGUUUCACAGAAAAGAGCUUAGUCAACGGAAAAUGACUUAUAGGUCAACUGAAAAUAAGCAUUUUUCUUUUAUAUAAAAGAGCUCCUCAAUAGAUAAUUUUACUUUUAUAUAAAAAAUAACUUAAAUCAAGUUUAAUAUUAUUAUAUUGAUAAUAAAUUUUAUUUUUAUUUUUUAAAAUAUUUAAAAUAUUAAUAUAAAAUAUUAUAUUUUUUAAUAUUAUUAAACAUACGUAUUUAAUUAUUUAUAUUUAGUCAUAGAAUAAUUUAUUUAAUAUUUAAAUUUUAUUUUAAUAGUAAAUUUUAAAAAUAAUAAUUUUAAAUAAUAUUAUUCACAUAUUAUUGAAAAUAUCAAUAUUAAUAUUUUAAUACUAAAUAUUUAUUACAAUUAUAAAUAUAUUAAUAAUAAAUAUUUUGUAGUAUAAAUGUUAAAAUAUGUCAUAAGUCUAUAUACUCUUCACAAAUUUGCAAUUUAGUUUCUGUACUUUUAUUUUCAAGAAUUUAGUCCCUCUAUUUUUCAGAUUUGAAAAUCAAGUCCAACUGCUAACAUUGUUAUUUAUUUUGGUCAAUUUUGUUAAAGUCACAUUUUUAAAUAAAAAAAUACUCAGUUGAUAGUCAUGUAAUUAAAAAAUAAUCGUUGCAAUGAACCUAAAUUUAACAAAAUAUUUUUAAUAUAUGUAAAAACAAUGUAAAAUAUAAAAUUAUAUAUAUAAAAUAAACUCAAUUAAAUAAUGAAAAAAUAAAAAAAAUCUCAAAUAUAUGUUUGUUUAAUUGAAAACGACUUUUAUGAAAUAUUUUUAAAGAAUCUGCCAAACAAAAGAAAAUAUUUUACAAAGAUUCAUCUAAACACAAAAAAAUAUUAGCUUUUUCAGAAAAAUAAGUAAUUUUUCAGAAGCCAUUUUCCGGAAGCCAUUUUCAGUAAAACAAACGGAGCCUAACUUAUAGGAGUAACUAAAUUUAUUUAUUAUUCAACCGAUCCAAUAUUCAUAUAGAAUGUGUACUUUUUUCCUUUAAAUUACACUCACAAAGGAAAGGUAGGAGAGAGUGAUUUAUAAAGUUUACAACUAAUAAGUCUUAAUGGUACAAAUAACACCACCAGGAUCCGUGGCGCAAUGGUAGCGCGUCUGACUCCAGAUCAGAAGGUUGCGUGUUCGAUUCACGUCGGGUUCAAAUCCCCGAAAAACUUCGGAUCACUUUUUCCUUUUCUGCCUCUUCGGAUAUGGGCCCAUCUGGGCUAAGCCCGAUCUGAGUUGUUCCUUAAAGGGGGAAACAGGAUCCCAGCCGUCCAUUGAAUCAUCAAAAACCUAACAAAACCCUAUUUAAUAUUUUCAAAGUCUCUUCUCGUCCCCCUUUUACUCUUUUUUUUUGUACAAGCCCUUGAUAACUCUCCAGCAGCCGCAUCCAAGUAAGGCUAGAAAUUUGUAUUUCGUUGAUUUUAUUUUCUGUUUUGCUUUAAUUUUAUUAACUCUACAUUCGUACAGGCAUUGAUUUUGUUUUACCAAAUUGCUUAUUUUAAAAAACAUGGGUCUUCCUUCUUACUUGGAUUGUGCAAGGUUUAGUCUGUAAAAAGUUUUAUUAACUCUACAUUAACACAAAAGAAUGGAUUGGGUUUUAUUCUACGACUGUUAGAUACCUGGAAUUUGUUUCCUGAUUGGUUUUGGUUGGAUAUAAUUUUGAUUAGAGAUGGGUGAGGAAGCUAAGGCUGUGGUUCCCGAGUCACUAUUGAAGAAGAAUAAGAGGAAUGAAGAAUGGGAACUUGCUAAAAAGCAGGAGCUUGAAGUUGCAAAGAAGAAGAAAGUUGAGAACCGCAAGCUGAUUUACUCUAGAGCCAAGCAGUAUGCAAAGGAGUAUGGAGCUCAGGUAAAUUUGCUGUUUUCUUUUUUCUUUUUGGAUUUAUGUGGUCUGUAAUCCUGAAAGCAUCUGAAUUGUGUUGUGUUGUCUGUAAUCCUCAGGAAAAGGAGUUGAUUCAGUUGAAGCGCGAGGCCAGGUUAAAAGGAGGGUUUUAUGUUGAUCCGGAAGCUAAGCUUUUGUUCAUCAUUCGAAUUCGAGGGUAUGUGAAUAUUUUGACAUUUCAUUGAUUUAUGAAAGUAAAUUCUAAACGGUAACAUUUUGUGAAUGUAUGUUUUCAGUAUUAAUGCCAUGCACCCCAGGACAAGAAAGAUCUUGCAGCUCUUGCGUCUGAGACAGGUAACUUGCCUUAUCUUUCCAAAACUAAAAUUCUGUGUAAUGAGAAUCAAUUCUCCUAUUUUCCCUGAAUGUAUGCUGUGCAUGAAGUUAAUUUCCCUUUGAUAGCUAAUCUGUGUUAUGAUAUCUUGUUGAAAUAACCUUAAUCGUUUUAUAUGUUGGUAUUAAUGUGCUUUUGUUUGAGAAGUUUUGCCCAAAUUGAAGGCAAGUGUGGGUUUGUUGAAACUUUGGGUAUCAUGGUAAAAGUGAGCCUUUCUAACACUGUAGGGAGACUGUCGUUAAUUUAGUGGAAACUAUUUAAUAUUUUUGUGUAAUAAAUAAAUAUCUGAAUCUAAAUUAUGAUGCUUGCUUCAAUGGAAUGUAGAUUUUCAAUGGUGUUUUUCUUAAAGUGAACAAGGCAACAAUGAACAUGCUUCACCUUGUUGAACCUUAUGUGACUUAUGGGUAUUUUUUUAAACUCUCCUGCUUCCUUGCAUUCUCUUUUACUAGUUUUAUGUACUUGCCAAUGCUUAUUUCUUAGUAAUGUAUGCAUCUAGAUACCCGAAUCUCAAGAGUGUGAGGGAGUUGAUUUACAAAAGAGGUUUUGGGAAGUUGAACAAGCAGAGAAUUGCUUUGACUGACAACGCCAUUGUUGAGCAGGUUUGUAACUUUUCAUUUAUGAUGGUUUCAUGUUGAUGUCAGACAUUUUUUAAGAACAAUUGUUUUUGUACUUAUUGCAGGCUUUGGGCAAGUUUGGCAUCAUCUGUGUGGAAGAUCUCAUCCAUGAGAUCAUGACUGUGGGGCCUCAUUUUAAGGAGGCCAACAACUUUCUUUGGCCAUUUAAGCUAAAGGCACCAUUGGGAGGUCUGAAGAAGAAGAGAAACCACUAUGUUGAAGGAGGAGAUGCUGGCAACCGCGAAAAUUACAUCAACGAGCUAAUUAGGAGAAUGAACUAGACAUGAUAUUUGUUAAUUUAGCGGUUUGAGAUUUUAGUUUAUGUGCAAGGAUCCUUGAUCUAUUUUGGAGGUUGAGAGAAGUUUUCAUAAAAAGUAUGAAAUUUGCAAUUAUCUACUAUGCGACUGUAGUUCCUAAAAGUUUUGUGGUAUUUAAAGAUUUUAUUUCUAAUGCAUUAGAUAGUGCUUAUUUGAUUCUUGUCACCUUAAAUGCUUAAAAUGUUUGCAGAUUCAUAAAAGUUUGGGCAUUGUGAAGGUAAAUGACCAGUCUUUUUGUCUGAAAUUUAUUGACUUUUUAAUGAUGAAAUAGAAGAUGGAGACCAACUGAUAUAAACCCGAAAUCCCAUAUUCCCAGGUUUUUGUUGAGAGUUACGAAGUCAAAAUAGUGUGGAAUUGAAGUAAAAUACUAUUUGUAGUACUUGUAAUUUUGAAGUUGAUUGACAAAAUCUUUGGAUACCAUAAGGAUUAAAAUGCAUUUGGUCUCUUGUUCAAGUGGAAAGUAUUAUGGAAAUUGAAACUUCCAUGUAAAAUUGAUAAUGUUGUUGCGGAAAGAAUGCAAUAAUCUAGUGCCAGUCAGGAAUGAACUAAAAGGAAACAAAUUUGGGUUAAUGAUGCAUGUCUGUUUGUUCUGUCAUGAUGAAGAGACAAUAAACGACCUUUUCAGAGCAUGUUCCUUUGCGAAAGCGAUAUUACAUGAUAGGAUUGACAGUAGUCAAAAUUAUAUACGACAAUGAUUCCAACAGUGUUUUGAGUUCCACACGACGGAGGUAAUGAUUAGGGCAGGAUCUAUUUACCUAAAUAGUAUGGGAGUAAAAUUAUUUACCUAAAUAGCAUGAAUGCUACUGUGAAAAUGAUGGCUGAAACGAGGGCUGAUACCAAAUCGACACAGGAGCCAAUCCCUCACAAUCAGUCUCAUCAAUCGCAUCCAAAAUAUUAAAUCGCGAUGAAUUGGCUCUUGCCUUAUCUAUAAUUGUUUCAUCCGAUGUUACAGUUGUGCUUGCAGCCUUCCCCAGCAGCUGCUAUUGACGCCCUGCAGCGACCAUUAAUGGGCCGUGCAACUCUUCCGCAUCGAGAUUAUUGUUAUCCCCCGUUGAAAUAUUUUCAGUCAGUUUAUCCGUAGACCUAUUUCCCUUAUUAGCAUCCUUAUGUACAUAAGAUUCAUUUAUAUGACCAAAAUGACCACAUACGUAGCAAAUGAGCAGUAACCCUUCAUACUUAAUCCGUUGAGAAAAAUCGUCUGAUACCAAGUGAAGGCAACAGUGGCUUACUCAGGUAAACUAUUACAGCAAGGUGAGCAAAAUGACCCCUCUUCCCCUCAGUCGUAUUAUAGUCGAUUUUGAUCACCUUGCCAAUAACAUUCGCAAUUGCCCGAAAGAUACUCUUAGUAUAAUACCGGUUAGGGAGCGCUGGCAACAACGUGAGAAGGAUAUAGUUCCUUAGUGGACAAGUGCCUACUCCAAGGUUGGACUGUCAAAUAACUAUCAUACAACGUCCAUGGUCCUUCCAUGAGCACUUUCUUGCAAUCUUUUUAUUGAAAAACUUUACUAGGAAAUAUUCAUUAUCCAAACCAAUAAGCUGUAAUCUACCCGCUAGCUGCCAGAGUGAUUGAAUUCACCCCAUUAAAGCUUUAAACCCAAUUGAUCUUCCAAGUAGUCGCACAAUCUCUACAUUUCCCAUGCUACGAUCAAUAAGAUUAUGAACUCUAUCAGAAAAAUGAAUCUCCGGAAUUGAGCCCUUAUUCUCAACCACCACAUCCUCCUCCCCCAAUUCAAAACCCACUGCUCCAGGCCAAGCAUUAUCACUCUCAACUAGAACUCUAUUUAAAAGCAAAUUAUCCUUAAAAGAUAGCUUUUCAGCCGGUGCUUCAUCCAUAACUAAGUAAACAGUAUCAUCCACACCAUCCUCCUUAUUCUUAACUUUUUUUUUUUGUAACUUUCGCAAUCUUUAACGGAAUCGAAGAUCUCGGUUGUUCAUCUGUCGAUAUUAAGAUUCACUGCUGCCAUCCCCUUAUACACUCUUUUAAGUAUAUGUCAAAUAUAUACACACGUAUUUUUUAGCAUUAAGCACUUUUUAAACCUUAUGAGUUGAAUGAAAUUUUUUAUCAAAUCGAAGUUGGCCUAUUACAGUUAUUUGAGUCUAUAUUGAUUCCACAAGCAACUUCAAUGUUGGAGGAGAACUUUGACCUAUAUAUAUAUAUAUAUAUAUAUAUAUAUAUAAGAGCUCACUUUGUACUCUCAAAAUUUUGGCCGGAUGAUAUUUCCGGUGGGGGUUGGUAUUAUGGUAGAUGAAGUCUGGCAUGAAACCUUGGAAUGCAAUCAAAAGUGGUUUAUUGGGCAUGCAAAGCUGUCAUCUCUCACAAAUUUUCCACUUAUUAAUCUUUUAUAUAUUUUAAAAUAUUUCCAUUUUUUACUUGUGCAUCUUCUUUUAUUUAAAAAAAAAGACUAAUAUUAAAUAAAAAGAAAUACAAUAAUUGAUGGGUCAUUGUCAUUCCCUCUAUUAUUAUACUCCACGGGCGGGGGUCCAUUUAAAAGGAGUUUUAAAUUUUGAGCAAACGCUUAGAAUACACUUAUCCUCCCUAGUGUCCAUACCCAUUAAUAAAUAUUUUCGCAAAUUAAAAAAGAAAAACGAAUGGGAAUUUUGUCCAUAAUCAUCAAAAUAUAAUUAUUUUAUUAUUUAUGUGUGAGUUUACAUUUAGAUUAAUUUUGAUUUAAUUCUAAUGUACAAUUUAUCUCAUAUGUUUUGGUUAAUAAUUUAUUUAUAAUUAUAUUUUCUUAUAUAUCACUUGUAAUUAAAAAACGAAAUUUCUUAAUUCAAUGAAAAGAAUAUUAUAACUCAAUAAUAAUAUUAUUAUUACAGUCUCCUCCCUUAAUUAUAAAAAAGAGUACCCGAAAAUUCUGAAGAUAAAUAAAUAAAUUACAGUAAAAGAGGAAGGGCGGGUUUGUCCUUUCGCUCCUAUGUUCUUCUUGUUUUUGCCUUUACCUUUAAAAAAAAAAGCAGAACAUCAACCAGCAUAAUAUUAUAAAAAUAAAAAAUAAAAGAGCUUCACUCUCCCAAUCUCCCUGCAUAUUCUCUUUAUUUUUCUUUUCCUGCUUUACUAUUUAUAUUAAUUUCUGUAGGCAAUACUAAAUUUUUUCUUCCAUUUCAUGCAAGCUGAUCCAGCAAUCUAUUUCCUCUGUUUUUCUUUUCACUUUUUCCAUGAUCUGUAAGUUCCAAUUUUCUUUUUCUUUUUUCCUUUGUCGUCGAACUUUUUUUUUCUUAAAUUUAGGGUUUCAGUAACUAGACAUUUUCUUUUUAUUUUGGUUCUUCUUCCCCUGCUUCGAGCUUGUUUAAUGUAGUGCUUUGUUCUGGUUACAGUUUAGAUAAUUCCUGGUUUUUUUUUUUUUUUUUGGUUCUAUACUUUUUAUAUAUAUUACGUUAGGAAGCUUAAUGGAAAUAUCAAUGUAUAUUAUUUAUGCUUAGUUACCAAACUAUAGAUCAUCCGAGUGAUAUCGGUUUGUUUAGUUAGAUGUUUGGCACUUAAUUAGAUAGAUGGUUAGCAAUGACCUGCAUUUUAGUUUAAGCUGUUAACAAUUCUUUAUUUUUCAUAAUGAAUUUUCCAUUCUUAACUAUCUUAUUACACUUGUUCUUUCUUUGGUGAUCUAACAGAGUGUAGAUUCAGAACAAUGACGAGGGUAAGUCGGAAUUUUAGCGAUACUGUGGAGAAGGAAGCACUUCCAGCUGUAUCAGCUGAUGUAAUAUUUGCUUCAAGUCGUUUUCCCAAUUACAAAAUUGGGGCAAAUAAUCAUAUUGUGAAUGUCAAAGGAGAUCCUAAAGUUUUGUCAAUGAAGGAGAUUGUUGCACGUGAGACUGCAUUGUUGUUGGAGCAGCAGAAUCGCCUCUCUGUUCGUGACCUUGCUAAUAAAUUUGAGAAGGGGUUAGCUGCUGCUGCUAAGUUGUCUGAAGAGGUCAAAUCCUUUCAAAGUUAAUUUAGUUAUUGCAGUUUUCUUAGAUAGAUUGCUAAAGACAUUUGUAUAAAUUUUCUACCUUUAAAUUGACUUAUUUGUGCCUUAUGAAGAAUCCAAAGAAUUGAAGAUAGGUUGUUCGAGACUACUUAUAAGUUGGUUUGUGUUUAAAUCUAAUGCUUAAAGGUUAGCUCAAUGUUCUGCUUGAGUCGCAUUAAGCGAUCAGUUGGUUGAUAAAUUUUGGUUUAUAGGCUAUUAUUUGUUUAUGCUUCUUGGAUUAUCACUGGCUUGAAGAACUAGGUUGCUCUCUGCGAAGUCUGUUCAUGCGAGUCAUUCUUCUCUUUUUGUCUGCUGUUUCUGUUAACAAUUGAGAAGCAUUGGGACUAUUAUUAAUUUUUAAUCCCUACAGAUUGUCAUGUGAACAAACUAUAGUCAUUUAUUGGAUUCAGGCUAGACUCAGAGAGGCAGCAUCACUGGAGAAACAUGUCCUUUUGAAGAAGCUUAGAGAUGCGCUCGAAUCUUUAAAAGGACGCGUGGCUGGAAGAAACAAGGAUGAUGUAGAGGAAGCUAUUGCCAUGGUUAAUGUUUUAUGUUUUGCCGUUUUAUUAUUGAAUUGUGAUCUAUCAGUGAUAUGCUAGUCCUAUUUAUUAUAAUUUUGAAAGUUAAAUGCUAAUAUUUAAAAUGCAUUACUACUUUUUAGUAUUCGCUAUUAGUCUUGGUGCGUAAGAAAUAAUGUUCAUGGUGAAAUAUUAGGGAAAAAAAUGCUGUAACUUUAAGGGUGUGAUUGCAGAUUUGUUGCUUCAGUUGAAAUUUCUAGGUUCAAUGAUGCUAAUAUCAUUCAUCUCAACAUUUUCCAAACGUUUUGCCACUUUGUAAUUAUUGGGAAAGUACUAGGUCUGGAGUUUAAUUAGCAGUUAAACAUGAUAUGCCGUACCCAUUGAUGUCUUCUAUUAAAGAAGGGUUUCGGUUUAGAAAUAGCGUGGAAAAUGUUUUAAGUUUUGCGGUCAUCAUCUAUAGUAUAGUUAGAUAUGAAGCCAACUUCUUUUCUAGGAGAAAGCUGGUCGCCUUGUUUAAAUAUAUCACCUUUGAGAAAGCAUGUUUUUUUGCAACAUCUUGGGUGGGAUAAAUGGAUAUAAAUAAAAAGUAAAUUAAAAAAAUCCUUCAACGCUUUAGAUGUUCUCUUUUCAUCCCUGAUUAUCACUAUCCCCUUUGUGUGAUUGAUCUAAUACUAAAACAAUCUAUUUGGUUUCUUAGUUAAUGUAUAUCGCCUGAAAACUUUCCAGUAAGGCUAUAAUAACCUUUGAAAUAUGGUUGCUUCUCCAGGUCGAAGCUCUGGCAGUUCAACUUACUCAAAGAGAAGGAGAGUUGAUUCAAGAAAAGACAGAAGUGAAGAAACUAGCAACUUUCCUGAAGCAGGUAAUAUAACUUAUGAUAAAUGCUGGAUGCUUUUCCAUCCUUUUUCUUUAUUUCAUAUUAAAUUAGUUUAGAAUGUAUAAUUGUAGCAUCAAUAUGUCUGAAAAUGCUUAACAAUCAAAUGCAUUAUUUGUUACAUAUUCAUGUUGUACUUCAUAAGUGUGUUUUUGGUACGAGAGAUGCUGAAUUUUGAUCAACAUUUAGAAAAUAUAAAUGUAUUGUCUAACAAAGACAGUGAUUUAUGACAGUCUUUCUCUUGAGCUUUCGGUAUUUCAUGUUAAAGUACCGUUGUUGAGAAAUUUAGCUGAAUAGUGAAUAAGUAUGGCACCUCUUGGUUAGUUAUUAUAGUUUAGUGGAAGAAUACCUUUUUCUUUGUUGAAGUACUGAUCUUUUUGGCUGGAAUGAUGUCAAUUAAAUUAUGGUUCUCUCAAGUUCACGAAUUUAUAUCUUGGAAAUGGAGUGUGAGGCUAUCAUAUUGAAAUUUUGAAUAAAAAUAAUAGUUUAGAAAAUGCUUUGCUUGCUAUUGUUUUUUUUUUUUUAAAUGUGCACCUUAACUUAUUAUUGUAGCUAUUCUUUAUGAUCCUCACCUUAACUUUAAUAUUUUCUCUCCUUUUAAAUUUGUCUAUUUGGUUUCACCUUGUUCUGAUUGUUGUCAUAAACAUUUACUGAUACAAUGGUGGUAGAAUACUUGGUUUGUUGCUUUCUGAUUUGACUGGCAAGAUUUAUUUUUCUUUGCCACCCUUUCCUAAUUAUUAACCCUCAUCCAGGAAAGGAAUGAAAAGACCUUCCUUUCUAAUUCUGAAAUGUUUAUACUUCUAUCAAGGUUUUCUGGAGAACGACUGUUUUUAGUUCUUGUCUCUGGAAACUAUCUUUUGUUCUCAAAACCAUAAGUUUUUUCAAUGUAACAAUUUCAAGAGAACUGUUCUCAGGACACCCGAUUUUCUCAAAAAUAUAUCUAUUUAUUUGUUUUUAUCUGUAUUCAGAUUGUUUCAUUUUUGUUUUUCAGUUUAAGUUAUUCAAAUGUAGUUUUGUAUUAGAAUUAAUGCACCUAACUUCUUUGCUUUCUAAGAGAAGUGUUUUGAGAAUUAAAGAAAGAAAAGAACCUUGAACCUGAACUACCUAUAUUGUUUUUGAAGAAUGCUGCUCUGAUAACAUCUGAGAUUAUCUAAGCUUGCAUUGGCUGGGUCCUUGAGUUAUUUGCUUAAUUCCCUUUUUAUACUUCGAUGCAUAUAACAUACUAAUUCUUCUGUUACUGCUUUGCUUUGCAUACUUGUGUCUUGAAAUAGGCUUCGGAAGAUGCUAAAAAACUUGUCGAUGAGGAAAGAGCUUUUGCUCGUGCUGAAAUUGAGAAUGCUAGAGCAGCAGUUCAGAGAGUGGAAGAGGCCCUUCAGGAGAAAGAACAAAUGUCUCGAGCUUCAGGCAAACAGGUUUUUGUUUUAAUAUUCAGUUUAUUGAAAUUAAAGUCUAUUUGCUAAAGGAAUCUAGCUUUAUAUUUACACUCCUCUCUUUCCCCGUUGCAUUAACUGUGAAAAUAUGUUUUGCUAUCACUUAAUAUAAAUUUCAUAUUAUAGUAUUCUCUUGUGAGCCUAUUUCCUUCAUUAUAUCAGUUUCUGCUAUGUGUUUUUAAAUGUGGCAAUUCUUUUCUAUGUUUUUGUCUUUUGUUUGUGAACAAAUAUUUUCCAUGGAUUUCAGGACCUGGAAGAACUAAUGAAGGAGGUUCAAGAGGCUAGACGGAUCAAAAUGCUGCACCAACCAAGCAAGGUUUAUCUUAGAUACUUAUUAUUAUUUUCUGAAAACUUCUAACCUAUUUCAAGUCACUUUGGGUUUAUAGCAUGCUGCUGCCUCAGUUUUUUAAACCAUGAAAAUUGGUUUACUUUUGUGCAUGAUGCAAGUUAUAUGUGUCUGCUGUAGUAAUUCACAAUCUUUUAGUCUUACAAACUCAUAAUCUUAUAUAACGUGCAAGGAUGUUAGAAAAUAUAUGCUCUGAUGUGUUUUAAAGAUGGAGAACAUUAUUAUUGUACUUUUAUCAUCUCUCUUGAGGUCAGGAUAGCUUGUGGGGGUUAAUGAGUUUUCUUGUUUACCUGUUUCACGCCCCCAAUCAUAUUAAUGACUUAAGUCUGUUAAGUCUUCUUCCGGAUUUUGUUAAGGUAAAAAAUCCAUCUAUAAAGAUAGAAGUAUACCAUAUUAGGGGUGAAAAAAAGCAACAAAUGUAAUAAGUCUUUUGUCGCCAUGUGCAUGGUUUAUGCUAAUAUCUUUUAUCUUUUAAGUAUAAUUUAAAUCUAGGCCCUUAGAAUAAGGUAAAGUGCCCUAUUACUUGAGUAGUUUUUGUUGGAAUCCCUAUAAUUAAGGAUAGAAAUCUGAUGGUAUUGGAAUCCCUAUAAUUAAGGAUAGAAAUCUGUUGUGAUCUCUUGUAAAUAGAAACUAAUCUCAGUUACUGAUUCUUAGGAAAUUACGAUAUCAAUUACUGAUUCUUAGGGAUUAGGAUUUAUUUCCUUUAAAAUGAUUAUUUUUCUCUUUAUAAAGCUGUAAACUAAAGCAGUAGCAAUAUAACAGAAAUUUUCCUCUGAGUGUUUUUACAUGGCAUCAGGGCUAUAGGAUUCACUCGAUCCUAUUUUUUUCUCUAAAUUCCCUUACUAAAAAUUUCUGUGGUUUAGUCCUCCAAUGGGUGAUAUCAAUGAGAAUUUCUCUGAAACUGAGACAUCACAAAUAACUCAGAAUAUCAAUCAGGGAAUCACUCAAGGUGAAAUUAAUUCCUCCCUUAUAAUCACCAAUCAUCGGCUAAAUGGGAAGAACUUCUUGCAAUGGUCUCAAUCGGUUCUUAUGGUGAUUCGUGGUCGUGGCAAAUUAGGGUACAUCAAUGGAGAAAUCCCACGACCAACCAUGGCUGAUCCUACUUAUGCCACUUGGGAACUCAACAAUUCAAUUGUAAUGGCUUGGCUAAUCAAUUCAAUGGAAGGCCAUAUAAGCCGCACCUAUCUUUUUUUCAAAACUGCAAAAGACAUGUGGGAUGCAGUCAAAGAAAACUACUCAGAUCUUGGAAACGCCUCCCAAGUAUUUGAAAUCAAGCUNNNNNNNNNNNNNNNNNNNNNNNNNNNNNNNNNNNNNNNNNNNNNNNNNNNNNNNNNNNNNNNNNNNNNNNNNNNNNNNNNNNNNNNNNNNNNNNNNNNNNNNNNNNNNNNNNNNNNNNNNNNNNNNNNNNNNNNNNNNNNNNNNNNNNNNNNNNNNNNNNNNNNNNNNNNNNNNNNNNNNNNNNNNNNNNNNNNNNNNNNNNNNNNNNNNNNNNNNNNNNNNNNNNNNNNNNNNNNNNNNNNNNNNNNNNNNNNNNNNNNNNNNNNNNNNNNNNNNNNNNNNNNNNNNNNNNNNNNNNNNNNNNNNNNNNNNNNNNUGACCCAAUUUCUAAUCGUCCUACUGAAACCUCUGCUCUCAUCUCCAAAGGUCCACAGCCACAAAAACGUGCUGGAAAUGAUUCUGGAUCAACAAGACCAUGGUGUAGUCACUGCAAUCGUGUUGGUCAUACAAAAGAAAAAUGCUUCAAACUCCAUGGCUAUCCUAAAAAAAAACAGAAGGAUAAUAAGACUGCCAUGUUAUCCUCCACUACUGCUGAUGAUGUUCUUGAUGUUCGCUUAACCAAAACACAGCUUGAGACUCUCCAUAAGAUACUUGGUACUCCCACUACUCAUGGAUCUCUAGCAACUCAAGGUACUGCCCUCAACAUUGCUUUUGAAUCUAAUAAUCAAUCUCCUUGGAUACUCGAUUCGGGCGCCUCUGAUCACAUGACAGGUGACUCCACGUUGUUUCACACCUACACUCCUUGUCAUAACAAAUCCCGAAUCCGCAUAGCUGACGGUUCUUACUCACCUGUGGCUGGAAUAGGAGAAGUACAAAUGACAGAGAAUUUUUCUCUCGAUAAAGUCCUACAUGUUCCAAACUUGUCCUGUAAUUUACUUUCAAUUAGUAAACUUACUAAGGAUGAAAAAGUUCUUGCUGAAUUUUCUGCAAUUGGUUGUGUGAUACAGGAACAGAAAUCGGGGAGGAUGAUUGGCACUGCUAAAGUUGAUGAUGGACUAUAUAUUUGGAAUAAAAACAGUACACAAGGGGGAUUGGCUCUAUCCACUGCAAAAGAGGACACUAUUAUGUUAUGGCACCGUAGGUUAGGACAUCCAAACUUUGUGUAUUUGAAAAAACAUCUUCCGCUGUUAUUUCGAAAUAAAAGUAUUAAUUCCUUGAAGUGUGAAAUUUGCCAAUUAUCUAAACAUACCCGUGUGCCAUACCCAUUAAAACCACAUAUUCAGUCCCAACCUUUUUCGUUAAUCCAUAGUGACCUAUGGGGAGCCAGCCGAGUGAAAAAUAUUACAGGGGCUAGAUGGUUUAUAACAUUCAUUGAUGAUCAUACUAGGGUCUGUUGGGUCUAUCUACUCAAAGAAAAAUCUGAAACACCCAAAGUAUUCCAAAAUUUUCACUCAAUGGUUCGAACCCAAUUCAACUCUACCAUACAUACCCUCCGUACUUAAACCUCUGCACGCGCAGUGGCAACUCUGUCUUANNNNNNNNNNNNNNNNNNNNNNNNNNNNNNNNNNNNNNNNNNNNNNNNNNNNNNNNNNNNNNNNNNNNNNNNNNNNNNNNNNNNNNNNNNNNNNNNNNNNACCUUUCUGACCAAGGCAUUAUACACCAAAGCUCUUGUCCUGACACUCCUCAACAAAACGGGAUCUUUGAGAGGAAAAAUCGUCAUCUUCUUGAUGUGGCUCGAGCCAUAAUGUUCACUAUGAAUGUUCCAAAAUACUUGUGGGGAGAAGCUGUCCUUACUGCCUGCUAUCUCAUAAACCGAAUGCCAUCAAAGAUCCUCAAUUUCCAAACACCUCUAAAUACUCUUUUAAAGGCCUUCCCUCUAUUUCAUGUCCCUAAUCUUCCAGCCAAAAUAUUCGGCUGUAAAGCUUUUGUCCAUAACCAUCAACCAAAUCAAUCCAAACUUGAUCCUCGAGCCCACACCUGUAUCUUCAUUGGAUAUUCCCCUACACAAAAAGGCUAUAAGUGUUACUCACCAACAUUGCGCCGAAUGUUUGUCUCUCGAGAUGUUACCUUCUUUGAAAAUGAACCAUACUUUGCAGCAUCUCAUCUUCAGGGGGAGAUUUUUAAUGAAGAUGAGACCUUAAUACUCUCCUCAUUAUACCGCCUGAUCCUACUACUACUAUCCCAAAUUUAGUUGUUUCCCCUAUACAGCAAGAAUUUAACACCGUCCUUCCCAAUGACAAUACCUCCACCGAAGUACAACAGCCACUUGAUCAAGGAAAACAGCAAAUACAGGUUUACUCCCGACGGAAUCGUUCUCCUGAAACUGAUAGAGCAGUGCCAAUUACAUCUCCAACCGAGGACUGUUCUGAAGCAGAAGUCCCACCUCCGUCACCAUCCAUCUAUCUUCCAAUUGCAGUUCGAAAGGGUACAAGGAGCUGCACUCAACAUCCUAUUUCUCGGUUUGUAUCCUANNNNNNNNNNNNNNNNNNNNNNNNNNNNNNNNNNNNNNNNNNNNNNNNNNNNNNNNNNNNNNNNNNNNNNNNNNNNNNNNNNNNNNNNNNNNNNNNNNNNNNNNNNNNNNNNNNNNNNNNNNNNNNNNNNNNNNNNNNNNNNNNNNNNNNNNNNNNNNNNNNNNNNNNNNNNNNNNNNNNNNNNNNNNNNNNNNNNNNNNNNNNNNNNNNNNNNNNNNNNNNNNNNNNNNNNNNNNNNNNNNNNNNNNNNNNNNNNNNNNNNNNNNNNNNNNNNNNNNNNNNNNNNNNNNNNNNNNNNNNNNNNNNNNNNNNNNNNNNNNNNNNNNNNNNNNNNNNNNNNNNNNNNNNNNNNNNNNNNNNNNNNNNNNNNNNNNNNNNNNNNNNNNNNNNNNNNNNNNNNNNNNNNNNNNNNNNNNNNNNNNNNNNNNNNNNNNNNNNNNNNNNNNNNNNNNNNNNNNNNNNNNNNNNNNNNNNNNNNNNNNNNNNNNNNNNNNNNNNNNNNNNNNNNNNNNNNNNNNNNNNNNNNNNNNNNNNNNNNNNNNNNNNCAGACAUAGCCUUCAGUGUGAGUGUUAUUAGCCAGUAUAUGCAUGCCCCGAGGGAGAAGCACCUGGAAGCUGCAUAUAGAAUACUAAGAUACCUAAAAGGAACUCCUGGUAAAGGCCUGUACUUUAAGAAGACUAUCAACCGAAGCGUGGAAGUCUACACUGAUGCAGACUGGGCAGGUUCUGUUAAUGAUAGACGCUCUACAAGCGGCUAUUGUAGUUAUGUUUGGGGUAAUCUCGUGACGUGGAGGAGCAAAAAACAAUCUGUGGUAGCACGCAGCAGUGCAGAGGCAGAGUAUCGAGCACUAUCUCAUGGUAUAUGCGAAGGAGUUUGGAUACAAAGACUUAUGGGAGAACUAAAAGUGCCUUUUACCAGACCUAUGAAGAUGUACUGUGACAACCAGGCUGCUGUCAGCAUAGCACAUAAUCCUGUGCAUCAUGAUCGGACCAAACAUGUGGAAAUAGAUCGUCACUUUAUAAAAGAAAAAGUACACUCAGGAGAAGUAUGCAUCAUCUACCUACCUACUAGACAACAAGUUGCAGACAUGUUAACCAAAAGUUUGAACAGAAACAUGUUUGAAGAACUUAGUGGCAAGCUGGGUUUGAUUAACAUCUACACUCCAACUUGAGGGGGAGUGUUGGAAUCCCUAUAAUUAAGGAUAGAAAUCUGAUGGUAUUGGAAUCCCUAUAAUUAAGGAUAGAAAUCUGUUGUGAUCUCUUGUAAAUAGAAACUAAUCUCAGUUACUGAUUCUUAGGAAAUUACGAUAUCAAUUACUGAUUCUUAGGGAUUAGGAUUUAUUUCCUUUAAAAUGAUUAUUUUUCUCUUUAUAAAGUUGUAAACUAAAGCAGUAGCAAUAUAACAGAAUUUUUCCUCUGAGUGUUUUUACAGUUUUGUUGCUGCUUCUGUUGUCAUUUAAAAAUAUGAUUUCCAAAGGCAAGUAUUAAUAUGACCAUGGUCCUCUCCUGCUCUUGAAUUGAAGAAAUAAAAGAAAAAGGAAAGUUUUUUGUGUGAUUGUUAAGCAUCCAACCUAAAACCAAUUGCCAAUAGGUGAGGGGCUCAACUUGGAUAUAAGGUCACAAGAAACCCGAGAUUUAUUAGAUGUGAUAUAAUACCAAAUAACACUCCCCUUUAUGUGUUUCUCAACAAGGGCCUAUACGUGGACAACCUCACAAAGGGUGGUUGACCCCACAUGGGGUUAUGCAGGAAGAAUAGAUCAUGCCUUGGGUCUAAUACCAUGUUAAAUAAGGUGAUGAUAGUCCUAAAAGCUUAAGCAUAUAGGAAAUGGUCCAACCAUUAUAUUUAAGUUUCAGCAAUGAUGAACAUAAUUCUUAAAAAAAAUGAAGCAAGUAUAGUUUUUAUAGAUGUGAUUACCGAAUGGCAAGUCUUAUUAUUGCCAUUGCUCUCUCUUCUUCAUCCCUGAAUUGAAAAGGAUUGGACCUGCUAGUGAUGAAAAUUGUUCUUCUAAACAUGAAAAUAAUCAUUAUGGCAUCCACUUGGUUAUUUUUCCUUUGGCAUUCCUCUAGACAUAGGUGAAGAAAUCAUGGAGUGGGAUGCAUUAUGUUAAACAAUUCAAUUAUAAUUUGACAUAUGUUUUGAAGUCUGACUUAUGAGGACAGAGCAGAGCAGAUUCUUAGAGUAACCUUUGGGUAUAUGCUCAUGAGAAUUUGUGUUGAAAUGUUGCAUUCUUUAAGUUUUUUGUUUUGUUUCUCCCAUAGAGCUCUCUAAUUGAAUGAUAGCUUGGCUUUGGCUGCAAAAUGAAUCAAGCUAUGGAUAGGCAUGUUUAAUUUUAAGGAGGUUUGCACAAAAAGCAAAUCCUAUCAAGUCUAUUGUAUUGGUGUAUGGAAAAUGCUCCUCUGAAGUAUGUCUGACUUGCAGCAUGACAAAUCAAAUUGACACCAUUUCUGCUAGAUGUACUUGUUUCAAAUCAUUUUUAGUUGAAAUACUGGAUGAGUUAAACCAAUAACAAUUUUCAGGUAAUGGAUAUGGAACAUGAGCUUCGUGCAUUAAGGGUUCAACUUGCAGAGAAGUCUAAGCAUUCUCUACUGCUUCAGAAAGAGGUUAGUCUUUUUACCUUUUAUCAUGUGGAUCUUGUUGAUCAGUUUCUUUCAGCCAUUCUAUUUGUGAUAGUUGAAUGAAUGGUCAUAGGUUUUUAGAUUAUUCUUGGUUCUUCCUAAGAAAGGUAUAUAUAUUUUCUAUGGUGCCAUGUUGAGCCACAAAAUUUUCAUUUCCUUCUCACUUUCUAUUCCUUUACUGUGUUGGUAUUUGCUUUGUUGAAGGAACUUCUUCUGAAACUGAAAAGUUAGGGAGGUCAAUGAUCUUUGGGAUAAUACAUUGACCUGUAAUUCUCUGGUUUCAGCAUAAUGAGGCCCUCAUAUGUUUGGGUUCUGAUGUCAAAUGCAUGGACAAACUUAGAUGUCUAUACCUCUAUUCCUAAAAAACGUAAAAUAAGACUGAAUCAGUGAAUAGUAUGCUCUCUACUGCUUAAAUAAGACCCUCAAUUAGCUUAACAGCAAAGAAAGACCACAUAAUUUUCUUUUUGAAAGAAUCUGUUUCAAAUUUCCAUACACAUGAUCGUAAAGUUUUGUGCUAUCUAAAUGGACAUCAUCCCUAGUAGGCUUUCCCCCAGAUAAUCAGCUUCUAAGUUAACGAGAUCGUUAAACCAUAAUACCAAUUAAGUAGAAAAAGGGUGGUACUUAUCAUUUCUUUUUCCCACUUUGCAGUGCUAUACUGGUAUUCUUUCUGAAGGAUGUUAUUAACUCCUGUUACAUUUAUUUUCUAAUUUUUAUUAGGCAUUUAUGUGGAACUGACUGGUACAUAUAACUGUGUUCCAUUCUUUCUUUAAUCAUUAACUUCUUUAACCUUCUGCUUUCCUUAACUAAUUUUUGCAGCUAGCAAGAAGCAAGAGAGUCAAGGAAAAUUUAUCUCACUUGUAUGAACUGGAUGGUGCUGAAGUUUUAGGUUCAUAUUUGCGGAUUAAACCUUGUUCUGAUAUUGCUCCAGAACUUUCCAAAUGUGCAAUUCAGUGGUAUCGUAUCUCAUCUGAAGGUGGCAAAAAGGAGCUUAUAUCAGGUAAAGAUGGCCAUUGAUUAUAUCGGUUGGUUCGGUCAGUUAAGUCGGUUAAUUGACUUAUUUAAAAUAUUAUAGAAUAUAUAUUUUAAAUAAUGAAAAAUAAAUAUAUUUAAGUGACUUAACCAACGUAACUUGUAUAUUAUAAUUUAUAAAUAUAAUUAAAAACAUUAAAUUUUAAGUUAGUCGAUCCGGUUAUGAAAUUUGAUAAUCAAUGAUUGACCGACAUAGCCAAAUAAAUUGACCCUACAACUGAUUUAACCGCCAAAACCUCCUAAAUCAAAUUGGUCGGUUAACUUAUGUUUUCCCCUAGUUACCAUAACAAAAUAGUUUUAGUAAGCUACAGAGAAAACAUUAAUAAAAUAAGCAUUAUUGAGAUCAAGAUGCUAAUCCUGACUCUUAUGGUCAAUAGAACGGUGUUUUUCCUUUUUGGAUCUGAUAUAUUUGUCUACCUUGCUUUCCCCAGGUGCCCAUAAAUCAGUUUAUGCUCCAGAGCCUUUUGAUGUUGGUCGAAUCCUGCAGGUUGAGAUUAUUUAUGAUGGUCAGCUAAUCAUGUUAACAACUACUGGUGCUAUUGAUCCAGGUUUACUGCGCGUGUGUGUGUGAUUUUAAAUCCUUAUACCUACUUUUAUUUAUUUAUACAUUUUUGAAGUUUUUAUCUCAUUAUUUCUUGAGAUUUGUAACUUGUGUUCUUUGUUUGUGAGAGCAGCUGCUGGUUUGGGGAACUAUGUGGAGGCACUUGUGCGGAAACAUGAUGUUGAAUUCAAUGUAUGUUGUCCUGCUUCAAAACAGUAUCCUUACUUGGCUAUAUGAAUUGUCUUAGCCUUUAUUUGUUUUAGGUACUUCAAAUAAGAUUUGAUUGUUGCAUCUUUCUAUUGAUUUAUAAAAUUAUUUAGCUAGUCCUAUUUUUAGUGAACUUUUUAUUUAUUUUCCAGAGCAGAAUGAGUUUCCACCUUAAACUUGAGUUUUAAGAUACAAUGCAAUUUUUAUCUUUCUAGCAGUGGUUCCUUAGGAAAAUGACCUCUUGUCUGUUUAUUUGUUCUUCGUAUACCACUUGUUCUGUGAAUAAUCUCUCCUGUUGCUGCAGCUCAUUAGAGCAUUGAAGAUCUAAACGUCUGUUAUCCUUGUGAGAAUUUUAAACAAUCCCUCAAGACCUUAAAGCCUUAAACUUGUAGAGAAGUAGUGUUGAAUUUAGAGCUCCUGCCCCAAGCAGAACUUCCCGUCCAACAUCAUUCUCAGAUGCAAGUGUUGGUUGCUUGGUUACCAAUAAACCCAAACUUGCUUGUUGUUGACCCUACUACUCAAUGACCUUUUAGUCUCUACAAUUCUCCUAGCUCCUGUUAUAUCAGCAUCUCUCUGCAUCUGUUUUGGGAAAAUGACAUGCUGAAAAGGUUUUAAAGCUUUUCACAUAAUUAAUUGACUUAUUUUCAUCUCAUCAGUUUUUCACCGGUUUGGGGUGCAGUUGCAUACAUGCAAAUAUUUACUUGUAUUAGCUGAAAAUUAGCCAUUUAUUCCAUUGUUUUUGCUUCUAAUAUUUGUUCAUUUUAUAGGUAGCUGUUCCUGGAAUGAAUGGAUAACGAAUAUGUUUAUUAUAUCUUUUAUAUAGAUAUUAACCACUUAUUCCUUUAUAUUGGCUUCUAAUAUAUCAUUAUAUUUUUAUAUUUUAUAGGUAGUUGUUACCCAAAUGAAUGGUGUAGAUCAACCAUCAGAAUCUAUUCAUGUACUACAUGUGGGAAAGAUGAGGAUGAAGCUAUGUAAAGGAAAGGCGACAAUUGCUAAAGAAUAUUAUUCCGGCUUAAUGCAGGUACUAAGGCUUGUUAAUUUUAUCAGCAGUGAAAAGAUGUUUUGAUGUUUUCUCUAACAGUAAAGGUGAAAACGAAGAGAAGUUUUGUAGUUUGGGGACAGUUCUGCAUAUAACCUUCAAAUUGUUCCUUGCUUUUGAGUAUUAUUUUUUUAGAAUAAAUUGUUGUCAGGCACUGAAAGGAGUACAAAAAAACCUAUGUUGCCGGACUCGGGAGUGAGUGUCAAAUAUGGAUAUGUGUCUGACAUGGUUAUGCUCAAUUCUUCUAAGUUUUCCAUAUAUUUGGAAGAACAUAUCUCAUAAGUAUGCUCGAAUGUUCCGGACAAGAAUGUCGGACAGANNNNNNNNNNNNNNNNNNNNNNNNNNNNNNNNNNNNNNNNNNNNNNNNNNNNNNNNNNNNNNNNNNNNNNNNNNNNNNNNNNNNNNNNUAUACAUACAUAUCCCAUGUGCGAACAAUGUUUUGUUUCAUAACACGUUUUGCUUAUAUAUGGUUUAGCUAUGUGGAGUUAGAGGGGGCGGAAAUGCAGCUGCACAGGCUUUGUUUUGGCAAGCAAAGAAAGAGUUUUCAGUCGUAUUAGCAUUUGAAUCAGAGAGAGACAGGAAUGCAGCCAUCAUGCUUGCCAGGAGAUUUGCUUUUGACUGCAAUGUAAGUUUUAAGUGGUUUUCCAAAUUCUGAUUAAAUGAUUUAUUUUUCAUAUUUAUAUUUUUGAAAAUGCCAGAUCAUGCUUGCCGGCCCUGACGACAGAGCUUCUUUAGGAACCUAAAUAGACUUGCUUACGGUUCUGUUUUGCUAAUUCAUUGUAAUUAUGUUGAGUGAGUUUGUUUUUUCAUUAUGUAUCAUUAAGUUUGUAUGUAAUGGUAGGUCAUGACAUCAUUGUUUUAUUCUGUAUUCGGUUUUCACCAUUCUUUUGUCCUUGUGUCUUUGCCAUUGUCCUGUCCCAACACGGAGGCAUUGCUUGGUGUUUGUUUUUGUUAUUGAUUUUUUCUUUUUUAAAUUAUUAUUGUACUAAUGUAACACAUCCAUACCUACACUUGGAAGAUUUCAUUGUGGAGCCAUAUCUAUUUAUGGAACGGUUUAUGCAAAAGGAGCGGUCAUGGGUUUUUGGUAAUUCUAAUCCAAACCAUAAAGUUUGUUCUAUUAAUAUUUGGGUAAGAUGUACUUCAAGUCCAAGUCCAUAUACUUGUGCAUUUAGAAUUUAGUUCUUUUAUUUUUAUUUCAAGGAACUUAGUCUAUUUACUUUUUAUAUUUUGUAUGUUAAGAUGUAAGCCAAUUAUUAAUGCAGUUAAAAAAUUCUUAUAUUAAAUUUAGGUUUAUUAUGUCUUUUCUUUCUUGUUACAUAUGGUUGUUAAGUGAGUAUUUUAUUAUUUCAAAAUGUUAUACUGAAAGUUUUAACGGUGCUAAUAAUUAAUUGAAUUUUGAAUUUUGAAAUUUAAAAAGUAGAGAUUAAAUUCUUGGAAAUAAAAUUAGAAGUAUUGAAUUCCAAAGGUGAGAAAGUAUAGGAACUAGGCUAACGAAAAUUCAAGCCUCAACUUCAAGUUACCUUAUAACUAUGUAGAGUCAAGCAUAAGGCCGCCAGGACCAAAACGCAGGCUACGGCUCCGUAUUUGUCACAGGUUUAUUUAAUUGUUUAAAAUUUUUUAGUUUUAUAUUCAAAUAAUACCUGGAGUACAAAGUGCUGGAGCAGCAUAAUAAACCAGAAGACACGCAAGGCAACAUGGAUGGUGAAGGGCUGAAAUACAGCUGAACCCACCCAGAGUUGAAACACCAUAUUUUUAUUACCCAGGAGCAGGGGAGGAUUAUUUAAAACAAAAUGUUAAUCAAACUGACGGAAGAAGUCAUAAAUGAGGCUGUUAAUCUCGUCGGGUUUUUCCAUGUGGAUGAAGUGCCCAACUCCUUCCAUUACCACUACUUCCUCCAACAUUGGCACGUCUUUCUUGAAUCCACCAUUGUGAAUGUAUUCUUUCAUGCCAGGCAUAUGGUAUACCAGGUCCAAAUCACUCACUACGAACUUAGCCGCUACUUUUACAUCACAACCAGUCCAUGGUGCCAUCAAUUCCCAAUUUCUGUCAUUAUAUCCAAACACACGCAUAUAUUUCGGCUUAGUUUUCUUUGAAUUAAAUUACUGAACAUAAUAAUUAUUCUCAUAUUAGAGCUUGAAUUAAACACUUGUUCUCACAUAUAUCAUGGACGACAAAAAAAGUUUAAACUUCAAUAUAGAAACAUUGCCAAGUUCAGAAUCUAAGUAGGAUAAAAAAAAAGGUUCAGAUCUCACUUUAAGGCUUAACUUAAACCAACAAAAAUUCAAACUUCAAUAUAAGAAUAAUUGUCAAAUUCAGACUUCAAAAAGUAAUUUAACCCAUUAUCUUUCGGUCCACCAAAAAAUAUAGAGUAUUUUAGAUUGAUAUGAUAGAAAUAUUAGAUCAGUUCAAAAACUUACAUGCAUAAUAAGUAUAAUUAUAUUGAUAAAUUUAACAGUUAAUUCAUUAAAAUACUAAUGAUAUAAAUAUCUACUAAAGUGUGUAAAACUAUUUUAAUUUUUUUACGCUUUAUAAAUCCAUCAGUGUAUAUAUAUAGUUAGAUACCUGUGAAGGUUUCGGUAAUAGUUGAUUCCACCAGUGAAGCCGCUUUUGUUGUCAAAUUUAGAGACAUAGUAAUGAACCUCUUCCUCUGAUAACCAAGAAGGCAAAGCAAUUGGGGUAUCCGCUGAAUGUCCAAAUGGUUUCCCUUUGGGUAACAUUAUUGGACCAGGAACUCUGUAUGUCAGAAAUGCCUUCACUACUGUCUCUGUACCCAUCUCCGCAAACUCAGCUUCUAUUUCUCCAGGUUGCUGUAAUUUUAUUAUAGUAUGAAACUGGUUAAUUUGUUUCUCAAUCUUAAUACAACCUACAAAUUAUACUUGAAAAUACAUUAAACAAGCGAUAUACCUGGAAUCUACACAUGUAAUAAUCAUUCCCAUAGAUAGCUCUCCACCCAUCAAUAGGGUUCAUUUGUGGAUUAUGUGGAAUAAAGGGCACACUGACGUUGAACACAGCUUUCACUUUGUCUGGCCUAAACAAACACAAAUACCAAGCUAUGGCUGCUCCCCAGUCAUGCCCUACUACCAACAGUUUGUGUUCGUUAGGGGCAAUAAUAUUUAAAAGCUGAACCAAAUCCCCCACUAUAUGGAAGCAGGUAUAACUGGUGACCAAAUCUGGCGCAUCCGUGUCACCGUAGCCUCUCAGGUCGGGUGCCACAGCUCGGUAACCUUUGGAAGACAAAGAAGCAAUCUGGUGACGCCAAGAGUACCAUAGCUCGGGGAAGCCAUGGAUGAAAAGAAUGAGUGGGCCUUCCCCUUUCUCUGCUACGUGCAUGUUUAUGCCAUUCACCUUAAUAACUCUAUGCUCAACUCCUUCCAUCUUUCACAUCCACAACCUUAAUUUCAGUUUCUUUUGUGGAGCUUUUUCGCUGCUCACACAAUCAUCAUAAAUGGAUUUAUGAAGAAAUAAAAUAAAAUGGUACACCGGCCAUUUGAAUGAAACAUAAAUGUUUUCGCCUCCCUGCCGGCCCUGAUUUUGUUUGUUUUUGCUGAUUUUUUUCUCUAUUUGUAUCAUUAUAUUUCAUGAUCUUCUAUAUUUCAAGUUUUGGUUUGCAUCUAUCCAACUAGUCUUCGUCAAUUAUGAGCUUUGUUUGUUACUUAAAAUUAGGUAAACAAAAAUUAUUUCUUCUCUUCAAACCUUUUUGGACGUACUACGCUAUGGUGAGAGCAUAAUAUUUCCAAGCAUAUCUUAAAUGAUUGGAUGAGAAUCCUAAGGACGGCCAGAAGCUUAGCUUGCCAUCUACCUAUUGCAAAUGGCAUAUGUUUCUUUGUAAGCAGGCUGAUGAAGAUAGACAUCGACUUUUCUACUGUUGCUUCUCUCUCUUUAGACUUUGCUCUAGACAUCCAAUGCCUGGCCUAACCCGAAAGCCUACCUGAAAAGUGGGAGGAUUCAGGUAAUGCUUUUUUGCCCUAAGCUCGAUCCGGCCCGAAAAUGCAAAAAAAAAAAAAAAUCUACUAUUUUUUUUACUAUUCUUGCUGUUUUUUUUUCUUGUUCUUUUUUGCCAUUUUUUUUCACUAUUUUGUUGUUGUUGGUUAGAUAUUAUAUAACUUUUGUUUUAUUGUUAAAUUUGUUACUAUUUUAGAUGCAUAUGCUUGUUAACUUACACCUAUCUUAGUGUUAUUUAAGUCUAUAUAUUGUUUUUAAAUUUAUUUUAAAUUUAUUGAUGUUUUUAGUAUUUUGACGUAUUAUAUUUUUUUUAAAAUUAUAUAAAAAAUUAAUAUGGGUGGGUCGAGCCUGGGUUUUAACAUUUUUAUCCAUGCUAGGUUUGGGUAAAAUUUAGGCCCUUCUUUGGACCUGAUCAGACCCGGUCCUAGCAAAUAGGUCUAGAAUAUUGAUUGGCUAGAAUUUUGAUUGGACCCGAUCCUGUCCAUCAACACCUCUAUUUUUCUCAUAUCAUAACCAUGUAUAUUUAUAUAAAAUUUUAUAUAUUAAUUAUUCACAUUUGCUGUAACAGCCUGUUUUCAGUGAAAUCAGAACAGUGAUUUUGAGACCACAAAUCCGAAGUCGAAAAAUUUAUUUUAUUAUUAUUUUAUGAUUUACACACUUAAUUUGAUAAUAGGGACUAAAUUGCGUAAAAUGUAAAAGUUGAUUUCUAAUAGUUAAAUGUAUUAAAUAGCUAUAGAAUUUUAAAUUUGAGUCUUUAUAUAGUAAUUAGCCAUUAAAGUUGUUAACGGAUAAGCAUGAAUAGUCAUCAUUGGAAAUUGAAUGAAUUAUUAAGGUUAACUUUGGAAAUUAGUGAUUAAAGUUAUGAUAAAUUAAAUAAAAUAAACUAUUAUCAUCCACUCUCAUAAUCUUCCACCAAAAAAAAAAAAA